Molecule: long non-coding RNA, 47855 nt
Filed under: Malus domestica (apple)
Lineage: Eukaryota; Viridiplantae; Streptophyta; Magnoliopsida; Rosales; Rosaceae
Description: long non-coding RNA (MDOM_LNC008013)
Source: RNAcentral
GGUCUAUGACGACAGGGUUUUUAACAUUGUCCAUGAUAAUAUCCUCAAAGUGAACGUCUGAGACAGCAGUACCCUUUGCAGGGGAAGCAGGCCAGGUUUUGAUCCUUACACCAUUAUCGGUAUUUGUAAUUGUGCAGUUCUUGAUAAAGAUUCCGGACACAGGUUCUUCAUCCUCAGUCCUUCCAAGGCUUCCGAUGCUUAUGCCGUGGCCUGGUCCGCAUGUAACGUUGGUUACAUGGAGUUGCUUGGUGCCAUGACCUAUAGAGAUGCAAUCAUCCCCAGUUCCAAUGGUUGUAUCUGUGAUGUUGAUCUCAGUUGAACGUCCCAUAUGAAUUCCAUCUGUAUUGACACUUUCUUUAGGCGCUGAUACUGUAAAAUCUUGGAAUGCCAACUUGUUGCAACCCAAAAGAUUUACGUGGAAAUUUUUGCUGUCUUUUGUUGUUAUUCCUCGAACUAUGGAAUUGGUGAUAAAAUUGAACCUCAAAUUCUGCGAAUAGUGUAAAAACAGUUCAAACAUAUUAAGACGAGUAAUGUCUCUUGUCAAAGUUAUGUUGUCAAGAAAAUUUUUAUAUUGUCACACUGAAUCAAAAUAACAAAUUAUCCACAUGAUCCAAGAUUUAGAUUCACUACCUAAUAUAUUCUCUUUUCACACGUAUGGCUCCGGCUGUCAGGCACCAUAUAUAUAUAUAUAUAUAUAUAUAUAUAUUAGAAGAGUAUGAUCAGCCGUUUAGUUUCACAAUCUAGCAAUUGAUUUAAAUUAUAAAAGAACAAGAUUUAAAUUAUCUUACAACAGCUUUAAAUUUGCAAUCUUUGUUUUUGUGGCAAUCAUUUUGCUUCCAAGCAGUUGCUCCUUGGCCAUCGAAAGUUCCACCGCCAGAUAAGGUGAGCCCAUCAAUGCGCUCAAAAGCUACCCAAGUAUCUUCUUUUGGGAGUUCCUUGAUAUGUUCCGGAGCCUGCAGUGUGCCUUGGAGCUGAAACUCAAUAGGACCUUUGCAUGGUCCUUUGAAAGUUGCCCCUACAAACUUGUAUGUCCCACUUGGAACAACAAUUUUACUUGCCGAUGUCGAUGCACAUGCAUCUGUCCAAGCUUUGCUCAAAGCCUAAUUAAAAACAUUGUAUAAAAAUUAAAAAUUGAAAUGAUUCGCUUUAAUUACCAAACAAUUCUAGAAUGGAAAUGAUUUUCCGCUUAUUCAUACUUUUUCCCAUGCAUAUUUAUUUCUUACUUUAAAUUAAACAAAUCAAAAGAAAAAUAAGAAUGUUCAAAAUCUAAAAAGUGCGUACGGAAGUAAUUUCUCUUCUAGUUAGAAAUAUUAGUUUAGCAUUUCAAGAAGAAUUGCAUAAGCAUAUAUAAUGCCUACCUGGGUUAUAUCAGAGUUUGCUUUUCCACCAUAAUUUGCACCUGUUACAUCAUAGACACCAGAUUGGGCAUUAGAUGAGGAUACUAACAACAAGAACACAAACAUUGACAAGAUAUUUUUCAGCUUCAAAUCCAUCUUGAGUUUUCAAUUCAGAAUGAGUUUCUUUCGUUUGGAAGUUUGAUGAAAACUUUAUUUUGGUUUCAUCGCAAUUUUAUACUUAGACUGGAAAGCUUAACGUCCUCAAAUUAUUUAGCUAAUUACUAGCUAGUUUUAUGGAAGGUGCCUUACCCCCAAAAACCGUGCACGAAAAAAACUAGCAGCCGUUGAAUAGUAAAAAUAUCUCAAAAUUUCUUCAAAAGAAAGGCUUAAUUACGAGCUUGAAAUUUCCUCACUCAGAAUAUUUCUUCCAAGAAACAAGGAAGUAGCCCCGAAUUAAGAUGUUUAAUUGCAGUGUAGUUCAAGAAUUAUAUCCUAUCAUUAGUAAUUAAUUAAGCUGCUUAUAGAACAUCAAUUACCACUACUAUGUAUGGCCCUAGGUUAGUUCAGUAUCAAUUACCACUUCAACAUAUAGUUCUCCAUGCUUUCUCCCCAAGUCAGUACUCGAAUUGUUUCUUCUAAGCAAACCCUAGUUGCUGCAGCCACCAGCACCCUGAUCAACGCCAACUCCACCACCGCGACACACCUACAACUUGUUUUAACUUUACGGCGUGACUUGUGGGAAUCCUCACAAUAAUAGUUUUAAACCUUAUCAUAGCAUGGAAACAAUACAAAGACAAAUUGGUACAUCAUUUUACUUGCUAGAUGGCACAUCUCGGUGUCUCCCUUUAUAGUCUACCUCUUCACUGACCGCAAAUUGGUACAUCACUUUACUUGCUAGAAAGACAAAGACAAGAGCAUCUACUAUGACGUACUCAUGCAAGUCUCGUUUUCUUUCUAAAGGAGUUUCUCUCCAUGACUAACGUUGUCGCUAACGGUUGUACCAAGAUCCCAUUCGUCUGAAGAAUUAGAAGCUUGCGUGCCAGUGCUUCUGCCUCGUUGGUGUUAAUUUGUCAAGGAUUGAGUGGCGGCUGCUGUGGUUGAGGAUUUGAGGGAUGGAAUCGUGGGGUUCAAUGUGGCAGUGCAGGGUCGUUUUAGGGUGGAAAGAGGAUCGCAUUCCGUGGCUAGGCUUGCAUGCAUCAAAAUUUCAACGAAAUAAAUAUUUACCAAUACAUUAAAUUUCGACAUGCCUGAGCUUAUGGGGCAUGCACCGAGGGUCGCACAAAUCGUACACGUGACAUGUGACUCAUCAAAACCAGACAAGUCAUCAAGUGACAUGUGUUGACACUUGACGGAAAGUAAUUAAUGAAUUAUCUUUAUUAAUUCUUUGAUUAAUUUCAAUAUCAAAACAAAUUAAUUGAUUUAAAAUGCCAAAUCAUGAAAAAGCCCAAAAUUAAGUCUUGUGUUUCUUUCGUCAAUAAAUCAAGUCCACAAUCAAGACCAAAUCCAACAGUAGGCAAGACAUGGAAAGCCUAUAAAUACGUGGCUCUAAGACAAACCCUUGUGGCAUCCGUUCAUUCAAGAUUAAGUCAUCGCCACCAUUAAAUCAACAACAUCCACAUUUUUCAAACCAGGGAUUGAAAAAGUGGAUUCAAGUUUUGUAAAAAGAUUAUAACCCUAAAUUUAUUAAUACAAAUUAUUACUUUGUAAAAGUGUUCAUGUAUUAUUUGUCUAUAAAUCUUGAGUUUACAAGGCUAUUGAGGGUUGAUUGUGAUUUUGUCAGGGUUGAGAUGUCGAACAAUGGAACUGAUGGAGCCUUAUGUGGUGGAUCUUGUGUGGUGGAUCAAGUAAAUGUGAUGUGGAGGGUAAUUAAAAAUGAUCGUUCAUUUUUAUGUACUGCUUCAAACUAUGCCCGUGCUACUUUAUAUAUGUAUUACUCUUUUGACUUGUGAUGUGGCUCAAUUGAUUAAAAACAUCUACCCCAUACACCCGAGGUCAUAAGUUCUAUUUUCACUUCCCCCAAUGUUUCCUUGCCUAAAAAACUCUUGUAAAAGUCUAGGGUUCUAGUAAAUAAAUGUGACUACUUAAGUCCAUCAGUUACAAGGAAAUAACUAUCGUUAGAAGGUCUAAACAGACUAAACAGAGUGUCAUUGUAGACAUCGAAAUUUCGUAAAUAAAUGUUGACCGAUAAAUCAAAGUGUCAACGCUCAUGUAUUACAUAAAUUUUACACGUAGCGUGUGACUCAACGAAAAUUGAAAUGAGUUGGAAAAGUCAUCAAAUAGGACACGUGUCAACGCCUGGCAGAAACGACUUAUUUCAUCUGGAAUAUUAUAUUCAAAAUUAGGCCUUGGAAAAUUCUAUAAAUACAAGCCCAAUUUCAUUCAUUUGGGGAACCAAUUCAUAUUACACCUUGAAGCUCUGAAGCUCUGAAGCUCCGAAGCUCUCAAGCAUCCAGGUUCCCGAAGAAUCAAGAAAGCUCUCUUCGUUCUUCGUUCUUCGUCCAUCGCUCUUUCAAGAUCAAGCCCCGACGGCCCUUGAAGAAAGCACCAUCGUUCAUCAUCCGUUCUUCCAAGAUCAAGCCCCAACGGCCCCUUUGGAUCGACAACAUCAACAAAUCCGCUCAUCCGCUGUUCAUCAAGCCCAAGCCCCGACGGCCCUUGAAGAAAGCGUUCAUCGUUCAUCACUGUUAUUCGAGAUCAAGCCCAAAAGCCCUCGAAGAUCCGUUCAAGCCCAAAAGCUCUCGAAGAUCCGUUCAAGCCCAAAAGCUCUCGAAGAUCCGUUCAUCACUAUUCUUCGAGUUCAAGCCCAAAAGCCCUCGGAAAUCCGUUCAUCACUGUUCUUCAAGAUCAAGCCCAAAAAGCCCUUGAAGAUCCGUCAAUCACCAUUCUUCUUCAAGAUCAAGCUCAAAAGCCAUUGAAGAUCCGUUCAUCCUCGUUCAUCCAAGAUCAAGCCUCGACGGCCCUUGGAUCAAUCGCACAUCCCACAAAUCAACACCUUACGGAGAUCGAAUCAGAGGAUCAAAUUAGAGAGAGAUUGUAACCCAAAAUCAUCAAAUACAUAAUAUUUGUUUGUGCGCGUUUGUUCUUGUCUCUUUCGUUUCAGGAAUUUUCCGUGUUCACAAAUUGGCACGCCCAGUGGGACGAUCUCUGCCUCUCAUCUCUUUCUCCGUUCAAGAAAUUCAAGCACACUUCCAAAAUUAAUGGCAUCAAGGAAGGCUCAAACUGUUCCCGCAACCGGUGCAAAGAACAAAAGCGUCCUCGUCGCAACUGGUGUCACUUUGGGCAUCACGACUCGAAGCAUGGCAAGAGCUACUUCUGCCGCUCUUUCACCUCUGCAUCAAACUCUGCCAAGGGGAACAAAAGCACCCAAGGCACGAGCCUUUGAUCACCUUAGCCUCACUAAGGGCACCAAGGGGGGAAAGCCCAAGGAAAACACUCCGAAUCCAUGCUCUCCGAUGCCGAUUCAAGCGACAGUUCAGCCAUGCAAGUCAUGACCAUUGGAGCAACUUCAAUCGAUGAAGCAGCUGGCUCAAAUGAAUGAAGCAAUCGCAAGGCUAACCCGAACUGUGGAAGAAAAAGACUUGCAAAUUGCAGCACUAGUCAACCGACUGGAGGCGCAGGACGGCGAUAAACCCGACCCAGAAGAUGAUCCACUAAAGGGAGGAGCUGGCGGAGACGAAGAACCCCCGGUGAAGAAAAAUCGAUGGGAAGCCGGAGCCAGACCAAGCAGCGGCACUCAUGGGAUCUCUCUUUCUAUCCAGCAGCUGCAGGAGAUGAUCACCAACACCAUCAAGGCACAGUACGAAGGGAGCUCACAUACCUCCUUGUUCUACUCGAAGCCCUAUUCCAAGAAGGAUUGAUGCCCUAAAAAUGCCGAGGGGAUAUCAACCACCAAAGUUCAUGCAAUUUGAUGGAAAGGGAAACCCGAAACAGCACGUUGCCCACUUCGUUGAAACUUGCAACAACGCAGGAACCGAAGGGGAUUACCUCGCCAAGCAGUUUGUGCGCUCGCUGAAAGGAAACGCCUUUGAGUGGUACACAGACCUAGAGCCUGAGUCCAUCAACAGCUGGGAGCAGUUAGAGCGGGAAUUCCUCAACCGCUUCUAUAGUACCCGCCGCACUGUGAGCAUGCUAGAACUAACGAGCACAAAGCAGUGGAAGGACGAGCCAGUCAUUGACUACAUCAACAGAUGGCGCACUCUAAGCCUCGACUGUAAAGACAGGCUCUCGGAAACCUCUUCAAUCGAGAUGUGCAUCCAAGGCAUGCAAUGGGGUUUGCAAUACAUCCUUCAAGGCAUUAAACCACGGACCUUCGAGGAAUUGGCCACUCGCGCUCAUGACAUGGAGUUGAGCAUCGCUCAUCAUGGGAAGAAAGAACCGAUCGCCGACUACAAGAACGACAAAGUUCUUGGGACAAAGGUGGAAAAGGCUGCAUGGAAACCCACCAAGGAAGCGAUGACGGUCAACACAGCUCCCGUCAAAAUCUCCACACGAGGCAAGGCGAUUCAAACCGAAGCUUUUCGUGAUCAAGAGAUGCGUAGACGCACUUUGAAGGAGCUUGAGGAAAAGAUUUAUCCAUUCCCCGACUCUGAUGUAGUUGCCAUGCUGGAUGACCUGUUGGACAAAAAGGUGAUCAGUUUGCCUGAGUGCAGACGGCCGGAAGAGAUGAAUCGUACCGACAGUCCAAGGUACUGUAAAUUCCACCGCUUCAUCAGUCAUCCGACAGAAAAAUGUUUUGUGCUGAAAGAUCUCAUCAUGAAGUUGGCUCAGAAAGGAAUCAUCGAGCUAGAUCUGGACGAUGUGGUGAAGUCAAACUAUACCACCUUCACUUCUGGCUCUUCCGACUCAAAGUUUUCACCUCAACCGUUGGGGGCAUCCUCCAAGACAAGCAAAGUUGAAGGAUGGACUCAAGUCACUCCUAAGAAAUUGCACAAGAAGCAUACGUCUCCUCCACAAGUCCGCCAAUCGGAAAGGGGGCAAAGCAGCUCUUGUCAACCUUCGAAGCAACGUGAACGUGUUGAAGAUGAUGAAAUUUCGACAUAUAGAUCGUCCAUCCCCAUCACGAUGCGUGAUUUCUUGCCCGAAGACUUCUUCAAUCACUCGGUCAAGGCUCCUUGCUAUGAAGAUUGUGAGGAACGCCUCUCCAAAAUUGCUUGACAAAUUCACCAAAGCUCAUUGUCUGUAAGAGCCUAAACUGCAAGACACAAGGCUCCUCGCCCGCACGAGCCUAAACUGCAUGGCACUAUGCUCCUUGUUCGCACGAGCCUAAACUGCACGAACCAAAGCUCCUCGCCUGCACGAGCCUAAACUGCAUGGCACAAUGCUCCUGGUCUGCACGAGCAUAAAAGGCAACACCAACGCUCCUUGUCUGCACGAGUUGAAACUGCAAACGACACCAACGCUCCUUGCCUGCACGAGUUGAAACUGCAAACGGCACAAAAAGAAAAUACCAAGAAAAAAAAAAUAUGCAUGUAUUUGAACUACGUUACGACUUGAUCUCUUCUUUAGAGGGGUACGUAGGCAGCUUGAAUAUUCGAAAUUUCGAGUUCAAUCACAUCAAAAUCAAAAGAAUAAAUGUUUUAUUAAAGAAGGUCAAUUUCAUUACAAAUUUAUUUUUGUUAAGAAAAUUUGCAAUUUUCUUUGUACAAAAUUAAAUUACAGUUUCUUCGAAAAAAAAUUUUUGAAUACAUAUGUUAUUAUGUAUUUAGAAAAAAAAAAAAAAAAAGAAAAAAAAAAAGAGAAAAAAAAAAAGAGAUACAAUUUCUUCAAAAAAAAAAAAAAAAAAUACAUAUGUUAUUAUGUAUUUAGAAAAAAAAAAAAAACAAAAGAAAAGAAAAAAAAAAAUAUAUAUAUAUAUAUAAUAUAUGAGUGUCUCGGCCCAGCAGCAAAAGGGCUCAAGCCACAACGGGCCCAAACUCCAGCUUGUCUUCUUCCUCAUUUCUCCUUGGCCCACAGUGCAGCCCAGCAGAGCACACAACUCCAACCCCAUCUUCUAAUCACUCACUCAUCCCCACUGCCAGGACACCCAAAAGCAUUUCCCUUCAACUUCGUCGGCCUCCGCCGCCUCAACGACGUCGUCCUCUGGGAACUCCUCGUCGUCAAAUAACUACUUCAGUGCUGCUUCCGGGUCCACCCCAAGAUUUCCUAUGCCGUCUUCCACUCCCGUUGACCAUUGCCUCCGUCAAAUGCCGCACCAGGAGAUCGAUCUGCUGAAGAUCGUGAAGAGGUUUUUUGGAUCCGAAACCGGACUGUGGGCUCGGGUUGCAGCUACCGCUCAUUGAUCGCCUGCCCGAUGUGCUCAAGAACAGGCUCGAUCGCUCCAGGACGCCUUCGAUCUGGCAAUCCGGUCCCACGACUACGGCUCCCAUUACCAGGGCGUGUACCCGGUGAAAUGCAACCAGGACCGGUUCGUCGUGGAGGACAUUGUCAAGUUUGGAUCGCCGUUCCGGUUCAGACUGGAAGUCGGGUCGAAGCCGAAGCUCACUCCGUACGGUAACAGCCAUGUCUGUACAGACCGCCGCGUCUGCCGUAUCAUCGCCAGACCAUGCUGCCGAGAAAUGGUUUUCGGUGCCGGAGCUCCGACUCCGAGACCACCGAUUCACUGUGCCCCUUGACUACUCCGUCGAUCGUACCGCUUCGCCUAAGAUCUCAGUCUUCGCUCGCGAAGUUGUUUCAGUUAGUAAAGAAGAACAACAAUUGCCAUACCUAUUUAUAUCUACAAGGUGGACUUGGAUCUGAGGCCCCCGACCAACUAAAUCCAGUGGAUGGAUAUGUAAAGCAGGUGAAGAAUUUCGUGUUAUGUUGCUGGAUCAGCGAGGAACAUAGUUUAUUCGAGUACACCUUGUUUCUGAUGCUGCACCAUGGAUACGUAAAGCGUGUAAGAAGACGCUGGGGACGACAUGGGAUUUCUUUAGGAUGAGGGACGAGUAGAUGAAGCACCCCGUGCUUUCCAAUCAGCUCCACCACGCCACUCCUGGCCUCGGCAUCGCUCUCGUUACAUUCAGCGGUGAGCAGAUCUACGACCGCCUCAUAUCAAUGUUUUGAGGCACCAAAUAUCAACGUUUUCAGAAACCCGAGAUAGGGAGAGGGCAAGAGACACACAUGGCGAAGAUCCAACGGUCGCCGGAAGAAUUUCAUAGCUGUCGAGGCGGAGUUGGCGGCAGCCAAAAAGGCGUCUACAAAUAAGGAGAGUGGAAAAUCCUCUGUUCUUUUGGAUGUCAAGCCUUGGGACGAUGAGUCUGACAUGAAGAAGCUCGAUGAGGCUGUUCGGAGUGUCGAGAUGGAGGGUCUCUUCUGGGGCGCAUCGAAAUUGGUUUCCGUUGGUUACGGGAUCAAGAAGUUGCAGAUCAUGCUCACCAUUGUCGAUGACCUUGUUUCCGUCGAUGACCUCAUCGAAGACCAGCUUACCGUUGAACCCCCGCAUCGGCAACAUCAGCACGGGCAGUGCACUUCUGGACUCAAAGCUCAGCAACAGCGGCGGCGGCACCGGCAGCUUCGAGGUCGAGUCUCGGAAGCUCCCUUCCUCCAAGUACAAAAGCGUGGUCCCGUAGCCAAACGGACGCCAGGGCCCACAACGUUGCUGCACAACGCUUCCGUCGCCACAACGCCGGCAUCAACUUCGAGUCUUCAUCUACUGAACCCAGCUCCCGGUCUUAGCACUCCGCCUCGCCAAGUCCACCUUCAUCACUGCAGGAUCGUUCCCAAGCAGAAGUUGGUCCCCGCAAGGUUCGAGGUAAGGAUGUACUUGGGAAUGCCGUGGUGGCUGCUCUAAACACACUAUACAUCAAACAAAAAAAAAACUUGUGAAUGCAUGGGGCAACCCAAUCUCAAACACCAUCGAGCGGGACUCCUUCUCCGUCAUCUCCUGCUACUUCCAAAGCUGCACCGCUCCUCUUUGCCCAUCUUCCACCGCAGCUGCCAACGACUUCAACGACCGCCGUCAAACGACUAGCCGGUCGUGAAGCUCGAAGCACCAUCUUCUCCGUCCUCCUUGCUCCGCUGCCUGCAAAUUUCUUUACCCAUCAUCAACAUUUAUACAAAAAAGAUAUAUUAAAAAAAUAGGAUGGUGGAGCAAAGCAAAGUGGUGCAUCUGGCACCACGUGAAAAAAAAAGAGGAAUGGUGGAUCAAAGAUGGGGUACAGCCCCAUGGCAGAUCAAAAGUUUCUGGUGGUGCAUGGGCACCAUGUGCAGAAAGAAAGAAAGCAAAAAAAAUAAAUAAAAAAAUAAAUAUUGUAAAAAAAAAAAAAAUAAAUAAAUAAAUAAAUAAACAUAAAAAAAAUAAUAAUAAAAAAAAAAAUGAUGGAACUUGGUGCAUCCAGCACCAAAAGAAAAAGAAAAAAAAAAAACAAAUGCAUAGAGAGAAAUAGAAGGUCCAUUUUAUUUAUUUUUCUGGAAAUUAUACAUAAAAUUAAAAAAAAAAAAAUCAAAUCAAAUCAAAUUUACAAGAGGGGAUAUUCAAGGACGAUCAGGUGGCGCCUCACAACUCGGCAGAGCUCCAGGAAGAGAAGGCGUCAGAGGUUGGCUGUUUGAAGCCUCAGCAGUCGGUACAGCCCCAGAAGACGAAGGUAAAUGCUGCUGGAACAAACCCACAAACCUCCGAUGAUCAAGUAAGAUCUGACCAUCAGAUUCCUGCAUCUGGUCAAUUUUCCUCUUCAUGUUUGUGGCAUAGUUGUGUGCAAGCUUUGUGCAACUGUUUAUUCUCAUGCUUGAGCCCUCUGAUCUCCUGUUUGAGACUCAUCACUUCAGCCGCCAACGAUUCAACUUGACGGGUUCGAGCAAAUAGGCGUUGGGCCAUGUUGGACACAGAACCCGCACACUGCACACUUAGAGCCAGGGACUCCUUAACGGCCAACUCAUCAGACCGCCUGGAAAGUAGUCUGUUAUCUUUGGGAGUGACAAGGUUCCGGGCCACCACCGCAGCGGUCAUAUCAUUCUUCAUCACCGAAUCCCCAACAGUAAGAGGACCAGUAGGGGAUAUGAAGGAUGGGCGCCAUAUGUUAUCUGGAGAAGACGGGACUACCUCUUCACCAAGGUUCAAAUCAAAACGACGGUCGGAGGGACCAGACAUUUUCAAAGUGUUGAAGGAAGAAGAGAUCGGACAAAUCAAGAUCUUAGAAGUACAAGAGGGAAGUUUUCACAAGCGAAAAUUCAAGUGUGUUUUGAAACGAACUGCAUGCCUCUAUAAAAAAUCAGCACUCGACGGGAUUUCAGAGAUCGAAGAGGCGAGCUCAGAAUUCGAAGAGGCCAUUCAAAAAUCGAAGAGGCAAGCUCAGAAAUCGGAGAAGCAUCUUGCUUUUCCAGACGUGUCGGCACCCGUCACACGCAAACUCAGCGUUGCGGAAAUCACGGGUAAUUUGUCGAAGCGCCAAUCCCAGAUAUCGAAGAGGCGCCAGUCUUUUUCAGCCGAGUCAUCACCUGUCAUAUGCACACUCAACUUUGCGCAAAUCACGGGCAAUUUGUCGAAGAUUUUCGGUGAAAGAGAAAGCACGUGAAAUUUUACUGUUCAAUCACGCGUUAGUUGCCGACACGAGUGAAAGAAUAGUACCUCUACAAGUAUUAAAGAACUUCCUAUAACUGUCCAUCUUCACCCUCCAUAGCAAGGCAGACAUACAAAACCUUUCUUCAUCUCUGAGAAUGCCUUCCCAACGAAGCCUCUUGAGUUACCCAGUGUUCCUUAUUCCUUGGGGUACCUCUGCAAGCCAAUGACUCCAAAGCAAAAGUAUCUCAUAUCACCAGGGUAGAAAGCAAGAGUAUCUCAUAUCAUGCGUUCUCCCUGUCCUUUCCUUUAUCCUUGUUCUUACCUACAAAGACAAGGAUAAAGAAAACAAUAUGCCGGAACUUCCACUCAAACUCGGGUAAGGAACCGACUGCUUGGAACCCUUCCCUGAUUGCCUACCUAGCACUGCUCUCGAGUACUCGCCUUCCACUGCUGCUGUACUUUCAAAGAAGCUGCCACAUCUGCCUGAAGAACAGAUAAGGCAAGUGAAAAUGAUACCUUGCAGCAUGUGGAGACAAGGUGCAGAAGGAACAAGCAGAGAAGAAAGCGGUCUGCACGGUCAACUCAGCAGAAGGAGUCCGAACUGAGGAACUCAAGAAGCUGCCAUAUCUGCCUGAAGAAACAAGCAGAGAAGAAUGCAGCAUGCACAAUCAACUCAGCAGAAAGAGUCCGAGAUGAAGAACUCGAGAAGAUGUCGCAUCUGCCUGAGGACGAUGAACUUGUUUUGACCCUCAAAUUCUUGGGUCGACUUACUAGGCGUUGUGGGCUGCACGUGCCGAUUCACCACCCUUGAAUCGAAUCCUUAAAGAUCAAGUCACCAACUGGAAGAAGAGUUCAUCAAUCUUGAAGAUCAUACCGUUGACCAAACUGCUCAGGUGUGAAUUAGAAAGAUUGAACAAAGAAACAGGUUGUCACCUUUACCUCGUGCCUGCUUGCCAUGUGUUCCGAGUCAACCUUCAAGAAUCAAGCCUCAACGGCCCUUGAAGAAGUUUCCAGCCAAAUUCAAGAUCAAGCCUCGACGGCCCUUGAGGAAAUCACAAGUCCGAUUCAAGAUUAAGUGUCUACCACCCUUGAAUCAAAACCUAGUUCAAGAAUAAGCUGUGGAAAAUCAACAAUUGGAGGAAUCCAGAAAAUCCUUCCAACCCAGUUCAAGAUCAAAGCUGUGGAAAGUCAACAAGCGCAACAAAAUACGUGCCGAUUCAUCCAUUACCAAAGCCAAAGAUCAUCUACCACAUGAAGCUCCUUGUGGUCCAAAUUUCAACCUUCAAGAUCAAGCAUCGACGGCCCUUGAAGAAAUUUCAAACAACAAUUCAAGAUCAAGCCUCAACGGCCCUUGAAGAAAUCUCAAGCCCAAUUCAAGAUCAAGCCUCAAUGGCCCUUGAAGAAAUCUCCAGCCCAAUUCAAGAUCAAGCCUCGACGGCCCUUGGAUCGACAUCUACAGUAAGGGACUUCAAAACGCAUCUCCUACACGUGACAAGCACAUGUAUACGACGUGCCUUGAAGUGGGGGCAUUUGUAGACAUCGAAAUUUCGGUAAAUAAAUGUUGACCGAUAAAUCAAAGUGUCAACGCUCAUGUAUUACAUAAAUUUUACACGUAGCGUGUGACUCAACGAAAAUUGAAAUGAGUUGGAAAAGUCAUCAAAUAGGACACGUGUCAACGCCUGGCAGAAACGACUUAUUUCAUCUGGAAUAUUAUAUUCAAAAUUAGGCCUUGGAAAAUUCUAUAAAUACAAGCCCAAUUUCAUUCAUUUGGGGAACCAAUUCAUAUUACACCUUGAAGCUCUGAAGCUCUGAAGCUCCGAAGCUCUCAAGCAUCCAGGUUCCCGAAGAAUCAAGAAAGCUCUCUUCGUUCUUCGUUCUUCGUCCAUCGCUCUUUCAAGAUCAAGCCCCGACGGCCCUUGAAGAAAGCACCAUCGUUCAUCAUCCGUUCUUCCAAGAUCAAGCCCCAACGGCCCCUUUGGAUCGACAACAUCAACAAAUCCGCUCAUCCGCUGUUCAUCAAGCCCAAGCCCCGACGGCCCUUGAAGAAAGCGUUCAUCGUUCAUCACUGUUAUUCGAGAUCAAGCCCAAAAGCCCUCGAAGAUCCGUUCAAGCCCAAAAGCUCUCGAAGAUCCGUUCAAGCCCAAAAGCUCUCGAAGAUCCGUUCAUCACUAUUCUUCGAGUUCAAGCCCAAAAGCCCUCGGAAAUCCGUUCAUCACUGUUCUUCAAGAUCAAGCCCAAAAGCCCUUGAAGAUCCGUCAAUCACCAUUCUUCAAGAUCAAGCUCAAAAGCCAUUGAAGAUCCGUUCAUCCUCGUUCAUCCAAGAUCAAGCCUCGACGGCCCUUGGAUCAAUCGCACAUCCCACAAAUCAACACCUUACGGAGAUCGAAUCAGAGGAUCAAAUUAGAGAGAGAUUGUAACCCAAAAUCAUCAAAUACAUAAUAUUUGUUUGUGCGCGUUUGUUCUUGUCUCUUUCGUUUCAGGAAUUUUCCGUGUUCACAGUCAUAUUCCAACAACUCGGAUGUCCUUAUCAUUUUUAUUUUUGUUAAAAAAAAUGAAAAAGUUUGACAGUUAACCUGUAAAUGAAGUAUUUUAAAUUCAAAUCACAUAUGAAAAUUCACUACUAGCUAGGGAGACCUGGAGUAAUGAACACAAAAUAUCUUUUGUCAUGUUAUUACAAAGAGAGGUUUGAACAAAAAACUCAACCGUCAACCCACGCUCAUCUCAUGCUAUUUGAGAAAAGUCUUAUGGGUAACUUAUUGACAACGCACGACAAAAACAAACAAAAAAACUUAUUCACAACGAAUAAUUGGCUUGAUUUUAAGAAGAUGUAGCACAAGCAAGAGGCUUUGCCACGUUGUUAAUGGUGGGCUUAACAUGUUUACAUUUAGAGGUAAUAGAGCCUUUCUCUCCAGUGUAUGUGAGAUCAAUGUCACUCGGUUUCACAUUCUCACAUGGCAGCUUUCCACUACAUAAAAGCUUGAUACCAACUGGGCCUGAAGAUGGGACUUGGAUUGUCUGCCCUCCCAUUUCGGUGCCUUCUCCGUGCCCUCCUGUUUUGUGUGAUCACGGUUAAGCCACGUUAAUAUUUUAUAUUAUUUUUUUAUAAAAAUAAUAAAACAAAAAGAAAUAGUAAUAUAAAAUGUUGACGUGGCUUAACCGUGACCACAAAAACAGAAAGGCAUGAGGAGGGCACCACAAUUAGAGGGCAGACAAUCCAAAUCCCUGAAGAUGAGCCCUUUAUGUUCUUAAAGCUGACAUCACUGAUCUUAAUUUUGGAUGAAACCUGCACACAAUAAUAGUACCAUUAAAGUGUAAUUUUAAAGUGUAAUUUUAAUUACAAAAAUGUUUUAAUUAUAAAUAUGCCAAAAAAGUAAUUAAAAAUUCAAGUGUAAUUUUUUGGAAAACCACACAGGAGUUCUUCCUAAAGAAAUGUACUUCUUCAUAAAGUGCUUUUAAGUUUUUAUAUCAAACAUUGAUAGAAGUGUUAUUGGUCGACAUAAUUUUUUUUUAAACCUUUCAUAAACAAUCUCAAAUAGGCUGGUGAACUCAAGUAUCCAUUCAAAAUAGUGGAGAUUAGUGUCAAUAGAUCAAACGGUUAUCAAUUGUAUUCUAUUCUUCUAGCUAGAUUAAGUAUUUGACUAAGUAAUAAAGAAACAAUGAUGUUAAUUUGGUGUAAAAUGGUAUACCUCAGGUGUACACAGCUUAUGUGGGCAAUACUCUUGGUCUAUGACGACAGGGUUUUUAACAUUGUCCAUGAUAAUAUCCUCAAAGUGAACAUCUGAGACAACAGUACCCUUUGCAGGUAGGGAUGGGCAAAAUAUUCAUGGGUAUGGGUAACCGCGGUUACCUGCCCAUUUAAAGUUGAUGGUUAUGGUUAUGGAUAACCGUUUAAACAAAUAAACAGUUAUGGGUAUAACCGUUUAUCCAUGAAAUUUAAAUGGACGGUUAUGAGUAUUAUCCGCGGUUAUAACGGGUAUCCAUCGGUUAUGGUUAUUUGCAGGUGAAGCAGGCCAGGUUUUGAUCCUCACACCAUUAUCUGUAUUUGUAAUCGUGCAGUUCUUGAUAAAGAUUCCGGACACAGGUUCUUCAUCCUCAGUCCUUCCGAGGCUUCCGAUGCUUAUGCCGUGGCCUGGUCCGCAUUUAACGUUGGUUACAUGGAGUUGGUUGGUUCCGUGACCUAUAGAGAUGCAAUCAUCCCCAGUUCCAAUGGUUGUAUCUCUGAUGUUGAUCCCAGAUGAACGUCCCAUAUGAAUUCCUUUUGUAUUGACGCUCUCUUGAGGCGCUGAGACAGUAAAAUCUUAGAAUACCAGAUUUUUGCAACCCAUAAGAUUGACGUGGGAAUUUUUUGCUGUCUUUUCUUGUUAUAUCUCGAAUUAUAGAAUUGGUAACAGAAUUGAACCUCAAAUUCUGCCAAAGUGUGAAAACAGUUAAAACAUAUUAAGACAAGUAAUGUCUCUUGCAAAAGUUAUGUUGUCAGGAGAAUUUUUUUAUAGUCAGAAUGAAUCAAAAUCGCAGAUUAUCCACAUGAUCCAUGACUUAGAGUCGCUACCUAAUAUAUACCCUUUUCACAUGUAUGGCUCGGGCUGUCAGGCACCAUAUAUAUAUAUAUAUAUAUAUAUAUAUUCUUAGAAGAGUAUGAUCAGCCAAUUAGUUUCACAAUCUAGCAAUUGAUUUAAAAUAUAAAAGAACAAGAUUUAAAUUAUCUUACGAUAGCUUUAGAUUUGCAAUCUUUGUUUUUGUGACAAUCAUUUUGCUUCCAAGCAGUUGCUCCUUGGCCAUCGAAAGUUCCACCACCAGAUAAGGUGAGCCCAUCAAUGCGCUCAAAAGCUACCCAAGUAUCUUGUUUUGGGAGAUCCUUGAUAUGUUCUGGAGCCUGCACUGUGCCUUUUAGCUGAAACUCAAUAGCAGCUUUGCAUGGUCCUUUGAAAGUUGCCCCUACAAACUUGUAUGUCCCACUUGGAACAACAAUUUUACUUGCCGACGUCGAUGCACAUGCAUCUGUCCAAGCUUUGCUCAAAGCCUAAUUACAAACAUUAAAUAAAAAUUAAAAAUUAAAAAUUGAAAUGAUUCUGGUUAAUUACGAACCAAUUCUAGAACGGAAAUGAUUUUCCGCUUAUUCAUUUUUUUCCCAUGCAUACUUAUUGCUUACUUCUAACUAAACAAAUCGAAAGAAAAAGCAAGAAACAAAAACAAGAAUGUGCAAAGACUAAGUGUGUACGGAAGUAAUUUUUCUUCUAGCCAAAAAUAUUGGUUUAGCAUUUCAAGAUGAAUUAUAUAAGUAUAUAUAAUGCCUACCUCGGUUAGGUAUAAAAUAUCGAUGAUAUCGAAAAUAUCGGUAGUCCAAAAACACGGAAAUUUUGAUGGAAAUAUCAGGAUAUUAUCGAUAUCGAUAAAAAUUGAAUAAAAACCACGGAAAUUGUAAGAAAAACUUGGAAAUUUUUAUUGAAACUUCGCAGGAUGUUUAUUUAGUCAAUUAUCUAUUAGUUUAUCACAAAAAAUUGGAAGGAAAUGCAUUGCAUGAUAGAUAUAAUUGAUUUAAGUUGAUUAUAUAGCGAGUUGGCAAACAUUGUGAGUGUAGAAAAUAUGUAUUAAUUAAUGAAAGAAGUUUAAACACAUCAUAAUCAUUUAUAUAUAAUGAAUUAGUACAAUAUUUUACACUUUAUACAUUGCAUGGUAAGAUACAUGAGUGACUUAGCAAGGUCUAAAAUAUCGAUGAUAUCGGAAAUAUCAGUAGUCCAAAAAAUAUCGAUAGUCCAAAAACACGGAAAUUUCGAUGAAAAUAUCGGGAUAUUAUGGAUAUUUUAGAACUUAUAUCAAAGUUUGCUUUUCCACCAUAAUUUGUACUUGUUACAUCAUAGACACCAGAUUGGGCAUUAGAUGUGGAUACUAACAAGAAGGACAUAAACAUUGGCAAGAUAUUUUUCAGUUUCAAAUCCAUCUUGAGUUUUCAAUUCAGAAUUAGUUUCUUUCGUUUGGAGGUUUGAUGAAAACUUUAUUUUGGUUUUGUUUGUACCAUACUUGACCAAUUCCGAAACUACUGAGCACCGAUCAACGUUAUACCGUCAAUGAUCCAAAAGAGUUUCCCUCUAACCAGGAGGCCAAUCACAGCGCACACGUGUCGACAUCAGAAGCCAAUCAUAGCGCGACACGUGUCAACAUCAGAAGCCAAUGACAACACAACACGUAUCAAUGUCAGAACAAAACUAGAAACUCUCUUCUAUAAAAGGAGAUCAUUCUCCCACAAUAUUUCCUAAUGUCAUUUGUACUAAAUAAUUCACUAGUACUCACUAAAUGAGAGCUUGAACCUACGUACUUGUGUAAACCCUUCACAAUUAAUGAGAACUCUUCUACUCCAUGGACGUAGCCAAUCUGGGUGAACCAUGUACAUCUUGUGUUUUGCUUUUCUGUCUCUAUCCAUUUACAUACUUACCCACACUAGUGACCGCGAAGGUCAUAAACUUGACACUUUCUGUUGUACCAAAGUCCUCGCCGAUUUUGUUCAUCAACAUUUGGCGCCAUCUGUGGGAAACACAUUUAUUUCUACUUUCUUCAGCUUUGUCAAGCUGGUUUCCACCAUUCAUACACUCUCUUUUGACCAGGCAUCCCUCUCCAACAUGGGGAGCGAAGGAAGCCACAACAUGCAGAACGACACCCCCCUCGCACCUGGUGCAAAGCAACAAAAAAAUGAACAAAAGAAGUUUGCUCUUCAGGCUAAAACACACGAGCUCAUCACCUCUAUGAAAGUCAACCAUCAACUGGGUGCCCCCCAACACGGAGGGUCAUUUGCCUUCGACAUGGGUAUUCUUGUUGAGGAGCGAGCUACUCAUUGAAAUGGCGACCAACAUGAGACUUCUCUCAACCCAGCUGCUUCGACCCGAAGCAGGAGAAGUUGAGGAAAGCACCUCCUUACAGAAUGAGUGGAAUGAUUGAAAGCCGUCUUUCGCAACUGUCGAGACUUCCUAAAGCAACGUCGAGACAAUCUCAUCUAUGUAAGCUCGAAGAUCAAUGACCCAAGGGUCUCUGAAAGACUCGGUCCCCUCCCAUGUCUCAGGCCAACUACCAAUUUGGGGAAGGGGCAGCAAGUCCUAGAAAAACACGAAGGUAUAGGGGACUCAGAGAUGUUCCGACAGACAUACCUUGGAAGUCAGUAUGGCUAGUCCAGGGAAAAAUCACAUACUCUUGAUCAAACCUUCCUACUUCCAAAAGGAGAUGGAGAUUUACGAAAGAAAGCUCCAGUGGUACAUGACUCCACUCAGGACCAUCUUGUCUUACAGCUCCUUAAAGAAGUAAACAAGUUGAAGGCCGAACGACAAGCUGAGAUACCUGAUUGGAACCAACCUAGGCUUGGCCCUCUUACAAUGAGGAUCCUCGACACCCCCUUCAAGCAAAGACAAAACAAAAGCUUGGCUUGCAACUCUAUACUGGAAAGAAUGACCCGAUUGAACACCUUAACCUCUUUGAGUCCACCAUGGCAUACCGGAUGUACACCGAUGAAGAACAAUGUCUUCUCUUCCCCUCCACCCUCUCUGGCAGAGCUCUAAAUUGGUAUUGUCGUCUUCCACCUGAAACAGUAGACUCAUUUAAGAAAUUGAGGAAACAGUUUGUUUCUCAACACAUUUUCCAGACCGAUCGCUUACAUUCUGCUGAUGACUUGUACAUUAUUCGCCAGACGCCAGAGGAGUCAUUACGUAUGUAUGCUGGCCAUUUCAGUCAUGAGAAUUCCCGUUGUGCCGAGGCAGACGACAAGACUGCCCUCAAAACCUUCACGACAGGCCUACGUGACUGUUUCUUUAAGUACAUAAUCAAUGCCAACACUUGAAAGACUUAGUAUGAGGUGAUGGCGCAGGCUUAUAACCAUGCCUCCGCCUAGGCAAGGACAUACCAAGAGAAACCUUCAACAACCAUCCCCUAUCAGAAAGUUGGGAGUGGAAGCCAGACUCACCCAAAUGAGAAGACCUCAACCUUCCAAACGGCAGCGGUGCCUCCCCCUGCCUUACUUAAUACUUCACCAAGUCAACAGACAUAUCAAUCUCAAGGCAAAAGGAAAGAUUUCCACCAUUCGUACACUCUCUUUUGACCAGGCAUCCCUCUCCAACAUGGGGAGUGAAGGAAGCCACAACACACAGAACGACACCCCCCUCGCACCUGGUGCGAAGCAACAAAAGAAUAAACAAAAAAAGUUUGCUCUUCAGGCUAAAGUCGAUGAGCUAGAGGCUUAGAACAACAGGAUAGCGAUGAAGAAUGAGAUCCUCCAAGAGCAGUAUGAGAAGGUCUUCGAGAUGCUCCACAAGGCUAGAUAUACUAAAACACACAAGCUUAUCACCUCUGUGGAAGUCAACCAUCAACUGGGUGCCCCCUAACACGAAGGGUCAUUUGCCCUCGACAUGGGUAUUCCUGUUGAGGAGCGAACUACUCAUUGAAAUGGCGACCAACAUGAGACUUCUCUCAACCCAGCUGUUUCGACCCGAAGCAGGAGGAGUAGAAAAAGGCACCUCCUUACAGAAUGAGUGGAAUGAUCGAAAGCCGUCUUUCGUAACUGUUGAGACUUCCUAAAGUAACGUCGAGACAAUCUCAUCCAUGUAAGCUCGAAGAUCAAUGACCUAAGGGUCUCUGAAAGACUCGGUCCCCUCCCAUGUCCCAGGCCGACUACCAAUUUGGGGAAGAGGCAACAAGUCCUAGAGAAACACGAAGGUAUAUGAGACUCAGAGAUGUUCCGACAGACAUACCUUGGAAGUCAGUAUGGCUAGUCCAGGGAAAAAUCACAUGUUCUUGAUCAAACAUUCCUACUUCCAAGAGGAGAUGGAGAUUUACGAAAGAAAGCUCCAGUGGUACAUGACUCCACUCAGGACCCUCUUGUCCUACAGCUCCUUAAAGAAGUAAACAAGUUGAAGGCCGAACGACAAGCUGAGAUACUUGAUUGGAACCAACCUAGGCCUGGCCCUCUUACAAGGAGGAUCCUCGACACCCCCUUCAAGCAAAGACAAAACAAAAGCUUGGCUUGCAACUCUAUACUGGAAAGGAGGACCCGAUUGAACACCUUAACCUCUUUGAGUCCACCAUGGCAUACCGGAUGCACACCGACGAAGAGCAAUGUCUUCUCUUCCCCUCCACCCUCUCUGGCAAAGCUCUAAAUUGGUAUUGUUGUCUUCCACCUGAAACGGUAGACUCAUUUAAGGAAUUGAGGAAACAGUUUAUUUCUCAACACAUUUUCCAGACAGAUCACUUGCACUCUGCGGAUGACUUGUACACUAUUCGCCAGAAGCCAGACGAGUCAUUAGUAUGUAUGCUGGCCGCUUUAGCCAUGAGAAUUCCCGUUGUGCCGAGGCAGAUGACAAGACUGCCCUCAAAACCUUCACGACAAGCCUACGUGACUAUUUCUUUAAGUACAUAAUCAAUGCCAACACUUGGAAGACUUACUCUGAGGUGAUGGUGCAGGCUUAUAACCAUGCCUCCGCCGAGGCAAGGACAUACCAAGAGAAACCUCCAACAACCAUCCCCUAUCAGCAAGUUGGGAGUGGAAGCCAGACCCACCCAAAUAAGAAGACCUCAACCUUCCAAACGGCAGCGGUGCCUCCCCCUGCCUUACUUAAUACUUCACCAAGUCAACAGACAUAUCAAUCUCAGGGCAAAAGGAAAGAUUUCCAUCCUCACCAAUCUCAUUUUAGUAAAAUGAGUAAGGGACACUAUCGCGAUAACCAAAGGUAUCGUCACGAUAAUGCCCGCCCCCAGGUAUUCAACAUAGUGGGCCAAGCACGUGUCAAGACAAGCCUUACCCCGAGGUAUGAGACAUACACACCUUUGAACGCCACAUGCGUGGCCAUUUACCCCAGCAUAGCACACCUGAUACUGAAGCCAAUGCCGAGGUAGUCAGGUUACAAGCUCACGUAGAACACGGGCAUAUUUUGCUGCUACCACGAGCAUAAUGGCCAUGACGACGAGAAGUGUAUCACCCUUCGUGAUCAUAUUGAAGUUUUGGCACGUGAAAGAAAAAUUGAUCAAUUCCUUCUUCACCCUUCAAGGGAUAACCGUAACCAACGCCAAGUGAAUGUGAUCAAUUCCAUAAGCGGCGGCACACCAAUAUCUGAAUCUUUCUACAGGGCCAUGAAAAACAGCGAACAAGCUUUAAGGCCUGGUCACCAAGUGUUUCAUGUGGAAGACAUCAGGGGAGGCAAGUACUAAAAGCCUAACUGGGAUCCAAUAUGUUUCUACCCUGAGGAAGAAAGAGGUAUCAUCUACCCUUACAACAAUCCACUAAUCCUAGAAGCUCACAUAUCCAACUUUGAAGUACGAUGAAUCCUGGUAGACAUAAGGGCUUCAGUCAAUAUCAUGUUUGCUGAAGCUUUCAGGGCACUUAAUGUAGCUGAACACUUGCUCGAUCGCUCAAUUUCUCAUCUAAUAAGUUUCUCCGGUGAUAUCGUGCAACCUUUAGGGUGCAUACACUUACCUUUCACCAUUGGUACAGGCCUUUACACAGCUACCAUUACCACUAACUACCUGGUGGUUGAUUGCCCAAUGGCAUACAAAGUCAUCUUUGUACAUACAGACAUCAAUGAUCUCAAGGCCAUAGUAUCCACACAUAUGUUGUUGAUAAAAUUUCCAACCCUCUAUGGCAAUGGUUACAUCAGAGGAGAUCAACUUAGUGCACAGUCAUGUUACAACACUUUAAUCAAGCAACAACACUUGCAUGUGCCCAAGGAAACCCUUUAUAUACAUGACCAAGUCAUAAAGACUAGCCCAGACAAAGCCAACUUGGAUCUUCAUGGUGGCAACAGUCAACCCGACGAUCUUUGAGAUGACUCUUUCACCCAACAAGCACAACCCGCUGAAGAGUUGGAGAAGGUUUCUAUCUCAAAAGAUUAUCCAGAUCGCAUGGUAAAGAUUGGCACCACCUUGUCACCACCCAUUCGGUUGGCAUUGAUCUCUUUUUUACAAGAGAACAUUGAGGUCUUUACCUGGUCAUACGAGGACAUGCCAGGCAUCUGUCCCGAUAUUAUAUGUCAUCAUUUGAGUAUUGACCCUAAUACCAAGCCAGUGAGACAGAAGCGAAGAUCUUAUGACGUUGAACGAUACGAAGCGAUGAAAACAGAAGUUGAAAAACUCAAAGGCAUAGCCUUCAUCCGCGAAGUCAAUUACCCAACAUGGGUAGCAAAUGUGGUCAUUGUUAAGAAAAAUCCGACCAAGGAAAGUCUCCUGCUCCCAAAUGAUAGCUUUCCUCUUCCUCUCAUUGACAGACUUAUAGACUCUACAGCAGGUUGUGAACUUCUGAGCUUUAUGGAUGCUUACUCAGGAUACAACCAAAUCCUCAUGAAACCUCCGAACCAAGAACACACAACCUUCACUACUGACAGGGGACUAUAUUGCUAUAAAGUCAUGCCCUUCGGCCUAAAAAAUGCAGUAGCGACUUAUCAAAGACUAGUCAAUUCAAUGUUUGCCAACAGAUUAGGAAGAGCAUAGAAGUUUACGUUGAUGAUAUGUUAGUCAAGAGCAAACAUGCUGACCAACACAUCACCAACCUAUCUGAAACUUUCACCAUUCUGAAGAGGUAUCGAAUGAGGUUGAACCCCAACAAAUGUGCCUUCGGCAUAGGCUCUGGCAAAUUCUUAGGCUUCAUAAUAAGCCAACGAGGCAUUGAGGCUAAUCCUGAGAAGAUCAAAGUAAUCCUCAACAUGAAGGAACCGAUAACUUCAAAAGACAUCCAAAGCCUUACUGUCAAGGUGGCAGCCUUAAUUAGGUUCAUCUCUAAGGCCACAAACAGAUGUGCUCCUUUCUUCAAAGUACUUAAGGGAAGUAAAAAGUACAUUACAUGGACUGAUGAAUGUGCCGAGGCAUUCAAGAACCUCAAGGACUACAUGAGUAAAGUUCAUCUGCUCUCCAAACCUGAGGUUGGUGACAUUCUCAUUAUCUAUCUAUCGGUAUCGGCUUCAACAGUAAGUUCCGUUCUCAUUCAAAAUGAUGGUAAUGUCAAACGGCCUGUAUACUACGCUAGCAAGGCCUUACAAGAUGCGAAGAUACGAUACUCCAACAUUGAGAAAUUGGCUCUAGCAUUGGUCAUGUCUGCUCGAAAACUUCGCCCUUACUUCCAAGAACACUCCAUCAUCGUGCUUACAAUCAUCAUCUUCGACAGAUACUCUAAAGUCCUGACACUUCAGGGUGAAUGAUCAAAUGGGCGGCGAUAACAUUGGGUGAGUUUGACAUCUCAUACCAACCAAAGCCAGCUGAGAAGGGCCAAGCAGUGGCAGACUUCAUCACCAACUUCACAUAUCCUAUUGACAUUAUUUCUACGCCUAAAAAAGUGGUUUCAUUACCCUCUGAAGCUCAGAGAAUAGAACCAACAGCCCCAGCAUGGAGUCUAUAUGUUAAUGGCUCGUCCAACCAACAGGGUUGUGAAGCAAGACUAGUCCUUACGACCCCUGACAAAGUGGCAAUGGAGUAUGCUCUUCGUUUCAAAAUCAAGGCAUCGAACAAUGAGGCCGAAUAUGAAGCCCUCCUAGCAGGCUUACGUUUGGCCAAACACCUUGGGGUUAAACAAAUUGAUAUCUUCAAUGACUUCCAAUUGGUGAUUAACCAGGUCACCAACAACCUUGACACUAAAGAUAGCUUCGUGGCAGCAUAUCUGGCACAAACACAAUUGUUGCUCAAGCACUUCCACUACCAGAUCACCCAAAUUCCUCGAGCGGCAAACAGUCAUGUAGACGUUUUGGCUCGCCUCGCCUCAGUAGUGGAAGACAAAAUUGGGAGAAAAAAUUCAGGUCGAAUUGUUGGCAGCACCAAGCAUCAUGGCCACAGAAGUGUGCAACUUACAACAGGGGGAUAGUUGGAUUACCCCGGUUUAUAAAUUCAUUGUGCAUGGCACCCUCCCAAAUGAUAAAGUUCAAACUAAGCAGAUUCGAUACAAAGCUACCCAUUACUUGAUCAUUAAUGACCAACUCUACAAACGGGGUUUUAACCUACCAUACCUAAGAUGCCUUACGCCCGCGGAGGCGGAAAUUGUCCUUCGGGAAAUACAUGAAGGAAUCUGUGAAGAUCAUGCUGGAUCUCGAUCCCUAGCACACAAGGUUGUUCGCCAAGGAUAUUACUGGCCAACACUCCACCAAGAUGCCAUCAUAAUAUCUCGCUCAUGUGAUAAAUGCCAACGCUACGCAACUAUUCCUCAUUCCUCUCUUGAGCCGCUCACUCCUAUGAUCAGCCCUUGGCCCUUCGCCCAAUAGGGACCUGAUUUAAUUAGCCCAAUGCCUACAGGGAAGGGCAAGGUCCGCUAUGCAAUCGUUGCAAUUGACUACUUCACAAAGUGGGCCGAAGUAGAACCUUGGCAACCAUUAUUGAGACAAAAAUAGAAGACUUCGUAUGAAAAAACAUCCUUUGCAGAUUCAGCAUUCCCAAUGCGAUAGCCACUGAUAACGGGCGAUAGUUCAACAACAAUAAGUUCAGGAUGUUCUGCUCUAAGUUCAACAUCAACUUAUGUUUCGCCUCCCCAGCUCAUCCCCAGUCUAAUGGAAAAAUUGAAGCCAUCAACAAAAUAAUCAAGUGUACUUUAAAAACCAGCUUGGACAAGGCUAAAGGUUGUUGGCCAGAAUUUGUACCCCAAGUUCUUUGGUCAUACCGCACUUCAUAUCGGACUUCAACAGGAGAAACUUCAUUCUCACUUACUUUUGGUACAAAGGCAGUUGUCCCAGUUGAGCUUGAGCAAGCAACGUUCCGAGUCCAAAACUACGUGUUAAGCGAAAAUGACAAACAACUUACCCUCAACUUAGAUUUAGUCGAGGAACACAGAAACCAGGCUCACUUGAGGAAUGUCGCUUACAAGCAAUGCAUCUCCAACUAAUAUGACUCAAGGGUCAAACCUCGUUCUUUCAAAAUGGGGGACUAGGACUGGGUAUUGAAGAAAAGAUUACUCUGCAACAGAGUCCCGAGUGAAGUAACACUUAAUCCAAACUGGGAUAGACCGUUUGAAGUUGUUGGCAUCAGUCGCUCUGGCUCCUACAAGCUUAAAAGCACCGAUGGCAAGACCCUUGGCCAUUCAUGGAACGCUGAUCACUUGAAGUACUAUUACAAGUAAACUCACAUUGUACAAGUGUUAAGCUUCAACCGUUCGGCAUCCUAUGUAACGAAUACCAUUUGGCAUGAAUUCAAUAAAGUGGUGAUUUAGACAACUCGGUCUUAAUCCUCUUACAUUCCUAGCAAUGAAACACUCGGGUUCAAAGCUUCAACAUGAAUGCUUCCAACAUGAAACAAAGUCUAAGUAUAUGUCAACAAGACUAUACAAAUAAACGAAUAGCUUCACAGUAUAUUCGUUCAAUCAUACAUUCCAACACAUUCAUACAUAAGCCAACUGUGCUUCAAAAGGGUUCAAAAUACUUUGUGUCAUUCAGCACUUGCUACAAUGUGCCUCGGCACCUUGCCCUUAUUCUCACCAACUAGGUGAUAAAGGAACUUACCUUCGUACCACCAACCAAGUGAUGAAAUGCACAACCCGUACUUUAAUAUUAUUUGGCAACUUGCCACUCUUAUCACCAACUAGGUGAAGAAGGAACUGAUCUUUGUGCCACCAACCAGGUGAUGAAAUGUGAUGAAGGAACUCACCUUCAUACCACCAACCAAGUGAUGAAAUGUGAUGAAGGAACUCACCUUCAUACCACCAACCAGGUGAUGAAAGCAACUCACCAUUCAUUCCAUCAUCUAGAAGACGAGUGGUAUAACUUGUACAUGUAAACUCUUAGCAUUCACAAAUAAUCAAAAACCCUCAAGCUUUACAACUCAACUAGGGGAGCACUUAUACCCAACAAGAGUUAUAGUUACCAACAAAGUCUUAUUGCAAGCCAACAACAACUUCAGUGCAUGGUAUACGAAGAUCAAACUAUUCAGCCCUCUUGCAUCUGCUUCAAACAUUUCUCCUCUGUAACAAUGCAAACACUACAACUCAUAGAAAGCUUCACACACUCUUCAUCAAGACUGCUAGAAGCAAAUUCAAUUUAUAUUGUUCACCCAAACCUUCGACUACUACAAGGUGUGGCUUGUAUAUGUUGUCUCUCCUACAUUUUCAAAUUUCCAGUUUUCCCAAAAAUAAAAUAAAAAAUCGAAAAAGGGAAAUUGGGAAAUUCAACAAAGCUUCAUCAAUGAAGGACAACUAUAAACUCUCAAAAGCUUCACACACUCUUGAUCAAGAUAGUGUGAAGCAAAACCAAUUUCUGGUGCCAACAAGAGCUUCAUCAAUGGAGGGCAACCAUAAUUCUCAAAAGCUUCACACACUCUUGAUCAAGACAGUGUGAAGCAAAACCAAUUUAUGGUGCCAACAAGAGCUUCAUCAAAUGAGUUCAACCACAAUUCUCAAAAGCUUCACACACUUUUGAUCAAGACAGUGUGAAGCAAAACCAAUUUAUGAUGCCAACAAGAGCUUCAUCAACGGAGUUCAACCAAAAUUCUCAAAAACUUCACAUUCUUGAUCAAGACAGUGUGAAACAAAACCAAUUUAUGGUGUCAACAAGGGCUUCAUCAAUGGAGGGCAACCACAAUUCUCAAAAACUUCACACACUCUUGAUCAAGACAGUAUGAAGCAAAACCAAUUUAUGGUGCCAACAAGAGCUUCAUCAAUGGAGGGUAACCACAAUUCUCAAAAGCUUCACACACUCUUGAUCAAGACAGUGUGAAGCAAAACCAAUUUAUGGUGCCAACAAGAGCUUCAUCAAAGGAGUUCAACCACAAUUCUCAAAAGCUUCACACACUCUUGAUCAAGACAGUGUGAAUCAAAACGAAUUUAUGGUGCCGACUAAACCUUCAUCAAUAGAGGGCAACUACAAUUCUCAAAAGCUUCACACACUCUUGAUCAAGACAGUGUGAAGCAAAAUCAAUUUAUGGUGCCAACAUAAGCUUCAACACCAAAGUUUCACCUACAAAUCUUUAACUCCAAAGCUUCAACUCCAAAGCUUCACCUACAAAAGCUUCAACUCCAAGCUUUGAGCUUCAACUUCAAAGUUUCACCUACAAAAGCUUCAACUCCAAGCUUUAACUCCAAGCUUUGAGCUUCAACGUCAAAGCUUCACCUACAAAAGUCUCAACUCCAAAGCUUCACCUACAAAAGCUUCUUCAACUCCAAAGCUUCACCUACAAAAGCUUCAACUCCAAAGUUUCACCUAUAAAAGCUUCAACUCCAAAGCUUCACCUACAAAAGUUUCAACUCCAAUACUUCACCUACAAAGCUUCAACACCAAAGCUUACAAAGGCUUCACCUACAAAGCUUCAACCCAAAAGCUUCACCUACAAAAGCUUCAACACAAAAGCUUCAUCUACAAAAGCUUCACACACUCUUAAUUAAGAUAGUGUGAAGCAAAAUCAAUUCAUGGUACCCAACAAAGCUUCAACCUCAAAGCUUCACCUACAAAGCUUCAACACCAAAACUUCACCUACAAAGCUUCACAUAUAAAGUUUAUAAUAUAUAUAUAUAUAUAUAUAUAUAUAUAUAUAUUCGAAAAUUCAAAAAAAAAUUGAAAAUUAAAAAAAAAAAAUUGCAUAGGCCUCCUCUUCUUUGGGCCUAACAACUUUCAUAACAAAUAUAUAUGAAAGGGGAGUUUUGGGCUACCACUUAGAAAGGAAAAUGGUGAAAUUUUGUUACUUUGGAAACUUGGCUACUAGCAAGACACCUCUUUCGUCAACUUCCUCGACCGGAGACUUGGGGGACUCCUACCAUAUGCUAUUGCACCUUGAUAUUCGAAAGUCUCACGACCAUUCAAUGACUUGGAUUUUUCAAGUCUCCAACCGAGAAGUUUUCCUCACUUGGGAAAUUAAGGGAGCACUACCUCAACCUACAUGCUUCACUCACAAAACUUCAACAUACAAGCUUCAACAAAAGAAAAAAUUCAAAGAACUUAGUGAAGAAGACUUUGGUGUAUUUAACACAAUACGUUGAAAUGAAGCAAAGCUUAUUUAUUGAUAUCUCUGAGAAGUUACAAAUAUGUACAUAUACAUGAAUCAAAAUAAACAAAUAAGAAGGAGCCUUCACAAAGGUUGCUCAAGAGAAGUCUCAGCAGUCGGCAGAGCCCCAGAAAGAGAAGGCACCGGAGGGUGAUCAUUCAGAGCCUCAGUACUGGGCAGAACCCCAGAAGGAGGAGGCACUGGAGGUUGAUCAUUUGGAGCUUCAUUACGCGGUAUAGCCCCAGAAGACGAAGGCAAUAAAUGCCUUUGGAACAAACCACAAACCUCUGAUAAUUAAGUAAAAUCUGACCAUCAGAUUCCUGUAGCUGGUCAAGCUUCAUCUUCAUGUUUGUAGCAUAGUCAUGUGCGAGCCUGUGCAACUGUUUAUUCACAUGCUAUAACCCUCUGAUCUCCUGUUUGAGACUUAUCGCUUCAGUCGCCAAUGACUCAACUUGGCGGGUUCGAGCAAAUAGGCGUUGGGUCAUAUUAGACACAGAACCUGCACAUUGAACACUAAGAGCCAGACUUCCAACAGGAUUACUUGCUCAAAAAUCGAAAAGGCACCGGUCUCCAAAUCUCGAGAGCUAGACUCCUACUAGGAUUGCUUUCUCAAAAAUCGAAGAGGCACCGCUAUCCGAAUCUCGAGAGCCAGACUCCCAACAGGAUUGCUUACUCAAAAAUCGAAGAGGCAUCCACUCUCCGAAUCUCGAGAGUCAUACUCCUAACAGGAUUACUUGCUCAAAAAUGGAAGAGGCACCGCUCUCCAAAUCUCGAGAACCAGACUCCCACCAGGAUUGCUUUCUCACAAAUCGAAGAGGCACCGUUAUCCGAAUCUCGAGAGCCAGACUCCCAACAGGAUUACUUUCUCAAAAAUUGAAAAGGCACCGCUCUCCGAAUCUCGAAAGCCAAACUCCCAACAUGAUUGCUUUCUCAAAAAUCGAAGAGGCACCGUUCUCCGAAUCUCGAGAGCUAUAUCCCCGAUAGGAUUGCUUGUUUGAAAACCGAAAAGGCAUCACUCUCCGAACUUCGAGACCCAUAUUUCCUUGGAUAAAGCUUGUCUGCAAUCUUCACACGCAACAUCAGCUUUCCAGAUACCACAGACCACUUUUUCAAAGUGCUGUGACAAAGUUAAAACACGUGAAUCUUGCAGCUCCCACUACAUUGCUAUGAUCGAGAAGGGUAAAGGAAUAUCGUUACUACUCACUGUUGGGACAAUUCCUAUAUAUGUCGACCUUCAUCCUCCACAGCCAGGCAAACCUGCAAAUAAAAAAUAUGCUCAACUUUUCUUCACAUCCGAGAGAGCACUCUCAGCAGCGUCUCUUGAAAUACUUAGCUUAUUUUCCCCCGAUAAUACCUCUGCAAACAAGCCAUACCAGAGCAAGUGUGUCUCAUAUCAUCAGCGUUAAAAGUAAGAGUAUCUCAUAUCAUGCUUUUUCCCUGUCUUUUCCUUCGCCCUUGUUCUUACCUGUAAGACAAUGAAAAAGAGAGCAAUCAGUCAGCACUUUGAAUCAAGCUUCCAGUCAGGAACUGACUGCCUGGAACCCCUUGCCUGAUUACUUACCUGGCAUUGCUCUUGAGUACUCAUCUUCAAUAUCUUGUGCUUCCAGAGAAGAUACCACAUCUGCCUAAGGAACAUAUAGGGCAAGUGAGAAUGAUACAAGGAAGCAUGUGGAGACAAGCGCAACAGAACACGUACCGAUUUAUCUAUUGCAUUGUCAACAGCAAAAGUAUCUCAUAUCAUCAAGUUCGAACACACUCUUGAUUUGAUGAACUUGUAUUGACCCUCAAAUUCUUGAGUUGACCUUAUACUCUGGAGGAAACCAGAAAACCCUCCAACCUAGUUCAAGAAUAAGUCUGUGGAAAGUUACUUCUUCAAAAGCAAAAGUACAUCAUAUCAUCUAUUCUCCAUGUCCUUUUCUUUGUCCUUGUUGAUGUCUACAGAACAAAGAGAAUGAGAACAAUCAGCCGGAACACGAGAUCAAACUUUCGAUCUGAGACUGACUGCUUGGAACUCUGAUUGCUUACUUUGUCUGUCACCUCUUUCGGCAGAUCUCCUCGCUCAGAGACUUGGGGGACUCCUACUAUAGGGUUUGUAUUGCACUUGACCAAGCCCAAAAGUACAAGUAAGCUUCAAGUGAAAUUGAUACAUUACCUUGUGCAUCUCCAUCGGUUAAAGAUAUCACCCCUAGAUGGAGGAAAAGUACUUCCAGAGAAGAUGCCACAUCUACUAUGAGACAGAUAAGGCAAGUGAAAAUGAUACCACACUUCGGUACUUAAAAGUUUCGUAAUUACUCAGCGGCUCGGAUCUCGCAAGUCCCCAACCGAGGAGCUUCCCUCACUCGGGAACUUAGGGGAGCAUUGAUUGUACCAUACUUGACCAAUCUCGAAACUACUAAGCACCGAUCAACGUGAUACCGUCAAGGACCCAGAAGAGUUUCCCUCCAACCAGGAGGCCAAUCACAGUGCGACACGUGUCAACAUCAAAAGCCAAUCACAACACGACAAGUGUCAAUUCAGAACAAAGCUAGAAACUCUCUUCUAUAAAAGGAAAUCAUUCUCCCACAAUAUUUCCUGAUGUCAUUUGUACUAAAUCAUUCACUAGUACUCACUAAAAGAGAGCUUGAACCUAUGUACUUGUGUAAACCCUUCAUAAUUAAUGAGAACUCCUCUACUCUGUGGACGUAGCCAAUCUGAGUGAACCACGUACAUCUUGUGUUUUGCUUUCCUGUCUCUAUCCAUUUACAUACUUACCCACAUUAGUGACCGGAGCAAUCUAGUGAAGGUCACAAACUUGACACUUUCUGUUGUACCAAAGUCCUCGCCGAUUUUGUGCAUCAACAAGUUUCAUGGCAACUUUAUACUGAAAUUGGAAAGCUUAACGCCCUCAAGGUAUUCAACCAAUUACUAGCUGGAAGAUGCCUUACCCUAAAAAACCGUGCACGAAAAAACUAGCUGCCGUUGAAGACGUAGUAAAAAAAUCUCAAAAUUUCUUCAAUAGAAAAGCUUAAUUAAGAGCUUGAAAUUUCUUCACACUAAAAAAAGUAGCCCCGAAUUAAGAUGCCUUAAUUAAGAUGUUUAAUUGCAAUGUAGUUGAAGAAUCAUAUCCUAUAAUUAGUAAUUAAUUAAGCUGCUUCUAGUUUUAGAACAUGAAUUACCACCACUAUGUAUGGCCCCAGGUUAGUUCAUUGUCAAUUACCACUUCUUUAACAUGUUGUUCUCCAUGCUUCCUCUCCAAGUCAGUACGUACUCAAAUUGUUUCUUCCAAGCAAACCUAGUUGCUGCAGCCACCAGCACCCUGAUCAACGCCAAGUCCACCACCGCGACAACGCCUAUAAUUUGUUUAAACUUUAUGGCAUGACUUGUGGGAAUCCUCGCAAUAAUAAUUUUAAAGAAUUCUUCACAUCAUAGCACGGAAUUCCAGCUCAACUCUAUCUCGAAGUGACGGAGCCAAGGACAAGGUUCCCUAUAGGAUAUAGCAUAGGGAGAGUUUUGGAUUUUUAAGUUUAAAAAUAGUAAUCUUUUGGGCUAUUUAAUGAUUUUUAACAGUCAUUUUCCACUUAGUAAAUGUAAAUUGAAUCUUAAAGAUGUUUUUAAGGAAAAUAAGAGCCACUAAAUGUUAAAUACUCAUCAUUUUAACUAAUAUUAUAAUUUAGUAACAAUUUAAAACUUUCAUACUACAAAUGAUUCCUUAUUUUAUUCACUUAAAAGUUUUGAAGACUACAAGCCUAGAAAACAUAGUAUAUAUUUCUUACUUCAAAGAGUAAAUUACAUUUUACCACCUCAGGUUUGACUGUUUGAGGUCUAUUGCAACCUCAUACAAUAACUUCAAAACAUUUCACUUUCAUACCUCAAGUACUAUUUUAUUUUAAUAUAAUAGAUCCGUUACAUUUUUCAUCCAUUGAUCCGUUAAGAGCUCACGUGGCUGCCAAAUUUAUGUCACGUGGCAAAAAAUAAUUUUUUAUACAUUAAAAAUAUUAUAAUAAUUUACCCUACUAAAAAAAAUAAACUGAAAACCCAAAAACCCAUUCCCCUUGACCACCUCCUUCUCCUUCCUCUCUUCAAACCCUCCACCACCAAAACCCUCAAAAAACCCUAUUCCCACCGCAACCAUCUUCGUCUUCUUCCUCUCCGACUCUGCUCAUCGUUUACUGGGCAUUCCCAUUUGGGUAAUGAAAAUGCCCGAUUACGAUUAUGGGAGGAAAGAGAGAAAGUGUGGGAACGAAGCCCCAUGCUACUGGGUUGGGGAGUGAAAGAGAGGUCGGGGGGGGGGGGGGGCACGUGGGUUUGCGGGGGAGGUGGGGAUGGGGUGGGAUUGGGGGUUUGGGUUGCGAGGAAGGGGAAGGUGUCGGGGAAGGAUUUCUAGGUUUAUUUAUUUAUUUAUUUAUUAUUAUUAUUUAAAUAGGGUAAAUUAUUAUAAUAUUUUAAAUGUAUAUAAUAAUAAAAAAAUUGCCACGUGGCACAAAUGUGGCAUCCACAUCAGCUCUUAACGGACCAAUGGAUGGAAAAUGUAAUGCAUGUAUUAUAUUGAAAUAAAAUAGUACAUGGGGUAUGAAAAUGAAAUUUUUUGAAGAUGUUGUAUGAGGUUGCAAUAAACCUCAAACAUGAGGUGAUAAAGUGUAAUUUAAACUACUUGAAAUUAUUACUUUCAGAUUUACUAUUAUAUAACUUUAUUUAUGUAACAAAAAGAUUAUUGACAAAAAAAAAACAAAAAGAUUAAAAGUUUAAUUAACUUUGCCCACCCACGUCCGAAAUUCUUGGCUACGGCAUUGCCAUCUCAAUUGUUCCCUUUAUAGUCUACUCUUCACUGAUCGCGAAUUGGUACAUCACUUUACUUGCUAGAAACAAUUACAAAGACGAGCAUCUACUAUUACGUACUCAGGCAAGUAUCGGUUUUCUAUCACAAGGAGUUUCUCUCCAUGACUAACGUUGUCGCUAACGGUUGUACCAAGAUCCUAUUCAUCUGAAGAAUGAGAAGCAAGUGCGUGCCAGUGCUUCUGCCUCGUUGAUGUUAAUUUGUCAAGGAUUGAAUUGUAGCUGUGGUUAGGAAUGGACAACGCUUAUGGCAGGCGGGUAACCGUGGUUAUUUACCCAUAACCGUUUACCCGUUGGAUAAUUGCAUAAGCAGUUAUACUUAUAAACGGUUAUCCAUACCCAUAACCGUGUACCCAUUUAAGCAUAAUCAUUUACCCAUUUAACCAUAAUCAUUUACCCAUUUACCCGUUUAUCCUUUUUUUACUCAUAUACCCCUUUUUUCACACGUCUACAUGUUUUUUUUUAACAACUUGAAAAUUACAAAAGAAAAAAAUUGCCAUAAUUUUCGUUUUCUGACAAUUAAACACCGUUAUAGGUACAUUUUAGCAUGCAUUUUCCUAUUUUAAUCAUUUAAAUCCUCAUACAAUUUCAAUAAAUUGAAAUAAUAGUUUACGAACAAUAUUUUUCUUCUACAUCCAAGCAAGUCUUUAAUUAUAAUCCAUAUGAUUACAAAGUAAAGCUUCUAAAAACAAAAAGUAGUCAUUAUCUUGAAUACUAGAUGAUUCAAAGCUACAAAAUAUUCUGAAACUAAACACUUUCGAACACAUUCAAUGACAAAGUAUCAUCGACUCGUUAUAACAGCGGGUAAUACUCAUAUAACUGUAUAACCUAACAGUAAAUGUUUUGAUGUAUUAAAAGCCCUAUGUAUCAUCGACUCGUUAUAACAGCGGGUAAUACUCAUAUAACUGUAUAACCUAACAGUAAAUGUUUUGAUGUAUUAAAAGCCCUAUAAAAAAAACUCACGGACUGAAUUAAAAGCCCAACUAAUAGUAAAUGUUUUUUUUUUCCAAAUUUACACCUGACAGAACCUAACCAAGCCAGUUCACUGUCUUUGCCUUUUUCUGUCGCAUAUGGGGCUUUUGGUGUUGCGGUUGCCUCCUUUUCCACACCCACCACUGUCAGUUACCUUUUUUUUAAAAAAAAAUAUUUUUUUUGUUGUUGUUUGUCAAGGGUACAUUUGGAAAAAAAGCAUUUACACUAUAAAGUCCUUUUUUUUUAUUUACAUAUAUUAAAUUAAAUGGGUAAAUAGAUACCCGUAUAAUCGCAGGUAAUACCCAUAAUCGGUGGAUACCCGUUAUAACCGUGGAUAAUACCCAUAACCACCCAUUUAAAUUUCACAGAUAAACGGUUAUACCCAUAACCGUUUAUUCGUCUAAACGGUUACCCAUAACUGUAACCGUGAACUUUAAAUGGGCUGGUAACCGCGGUUACCCAAACCCAUAGGUAUUUUGCCCAUCCCUAGUUGUGGUUGAGGAUUUGAGGGACGAAAUUGUGGGGUUCAAAUGUGGCAAUGCAGGGUGGUUUUAGGGUCGAAAGAGGAUCGCAUUCCGUGAGUAGGCUUGUAGACGUUGAAAUUUCAGUAAAAUAAAUGCUCACCAACACCUUAAAUUUUGACAUGCAUGGGCUUACGUGGCAUGCACCGUUGGUCUCACAUAUUGUACACAUUACAUGUGACUCAUCAAAACUAGACGAGUCAUUAAGGAAAGUAAUUAAGGAAUUAUCUUUAUUAAUUAUUUAAUUAAUUUUAAUUUAAAUCAAAACAAAUUAAUUGAUUUAAAAUGUCAACCAAACCCAAAAUCAAGUCUUGUGUUCUUUCGUCAAUGAAUCAAGUCCACAAUCAAUGUCAAAUCUAGUCGUAGGCAAAGACUUGGAGAACCUAUAAAUACGCGACUUCAAGACAAAUAAAAGGGUCAGAAAUACAUCCAAACACACAGAUGCUCAAACUCCCAAAUUACCAAACACUCAGAAAGCUCUUGCAUUCUUCGCCACACUUGUGAAGCACCCCUACACAUGUCCAUUCUUCCAUCACCACUAGCCAAACCCUUCCGGCAUCCGUUCAUUCAAGAUCAAGUUAUCGUGAUCCUCGGAUCAAAAACACCCCCAUUUUUCACUCCGAAGAUUGAAUAUGUGGAUUCAAGUUUUGUAAAGAGAUUGUAACUUUAAAUUUAUUAACACAAAUUAUUACUUUGUACUCAUAUUCUUGUGUUAUUUGUUGCAGGAAUCUCGUGUUUACAAAGCAAUUGAGGGUUGAUUGUGAUUUUGUCAGCCUUGAGAAUGGAACUGACGGGGCAUUGUUUGGUGGAUCAAGUAAAUGUGAUGUUGAGGGUAAUUAAAAAUGAUCGUUCAUUUUUAUGUAUUUGCUUCAAACUAUACUCGUGCUACCUUUAUAUAUGUAUUCUUUUGACUUGCGAUGUAGCUCACUUGACUAAAAGCAUUUAUUCACACUAGUAAAAAAAAAUCCCUUGUGCAACGAAGCACACAUUAUCGCGCAAAGUUACUUUGUGUGACGAAAUUUUAAACUUCGUUGAGCAAAGUCCUGCACGAUGAAAUUUUAUGCGACGAAACACACAUCGUCAUGCAAAGUCACUUUGUUCGACGAAAAUUUAAACUUCAUCAAGCAAAGUCUUUACAAAAAUAAAUAAAAUAAAAUAAAAUUUUAAACUUUUACGUGACGAAAUCUAAAUAUUUCGUCGCCUAAACCCAAUUUAUUUUCUUUUUAUUUAACUUUAUAUUUUAAAUUGUAAAAUAAAUUAUUUUUAUAGUUUUUUUUUUUUUUAACUUUGUGCGACGAAUAUUAAUGUUUCGUCGCCUAAAUCCUAUUUAUUUUAUUUUUAUAUUUUAUAUUGUUAACCUAAAUUAUUUUCUUUACUUUUUAUCAUUUUCUUUGCGUGACGAAUCAACAUUUUGUCGCCUAAACCCUAUUUAUUUUAUUUUAUUUAUAUUUUAAAUUGUAAAAUUAAAAAAAAAAAUUUAAACUUGCGCGACAAAUACUAAUAUUUCAUCACAAAAACCUUGUUUAUUUAAUUUUUAUUUAAUUUUAUAUUUUAAAUAGUCAAAUAAAAUUUAUUUCUAUAAAUUUUGCAUGACGAACCAAUAUUUCGUCACACAAAACCCUAAAAAUUUGGGUGGGCACCAAAAAUGGGGUGCGGGAAUUUUUUUUUUAUAAUUUUUUUAAGACUUUGUGCGACCAAUCUUUCGUCGCGCAAAAUCGUAUCCUUCAUCGCGCACAGUGAUACGGAUUUUAAAACCAAAAUAACUCCUCCAAAAUUUUCUCAAUGUAUCUCUCUAGUUCUCUUACCUCUUCUCUCUUUCCCUCACCCCAAAUCCGACCCCCUCUCUCUCUCUCUCUCUCUCUCUCUCUCUCUCUCUCUCACUCUCUCAUUUUUCCCUAUCUCUCACUUACUCCUUUUUCCCUAUCUCUCACUCACUCUCAAUCUUGCCAAAAGGUAUUUUCUCUCUAAACUUUAAUUUAUUUCUCAUUAAUAUGUGUUUUUGGAGUUAAUUUUAGGUUUGGGUGGGGUUUGGGGUCGAGUAUAGGGUGAGGGGUGGAGUUUGGGGUAUGCCGAUUUUAGAGGAGGUUAUGUCCAUUUUUUGGUAUUAUUUUAUGUUGUUCUUUUGGUUAUUUGACCAUUUUUUUUUUGUUGGGAAUCGUCUGGACUUUGACGGUGAAAGUUGAGCAGUUGAGGAUUAUGACGCUAUCAAACCAUAUCCCCCGCCACCACCACCACUACAAUAGACUUGUAUUAGGAUUUUAUUAUUGUAAUUUGUUAAUUUAUAUGUACCUUUUGAAUAAAAUGUAUAUUAUGGAUAAUUUGAUCACUAUUUUUCAUAUGCAAUUUUAUUUUAAAUAUGUCAAUUUAAAUUAAAGUAAUUAAAAAAAAUAAAGCCAUAUAAUUAAAUUAAAUUUAAAAAGUAAAAAUUCAAAACAUCUUGCGCUACCAAAUAUUACGUCACACAAACAAUUACUAUAAUUAAAUUAAUAAUAGAAAUAAUAAAACAAAAAGUCAAUUUAAUUAAACAAAAAAAUAAAAACCAAAAACUUUCGUCACGCAAAAUCUUGCGCUACCAAAUAUUUCAUCACGCAAUAUAUUAAAUUAAUUCAAUUAAAUCAAAAAAUCAAAAACUUUGCGCAACAAAAUGUUUCGUCGCACAAAGUACCAUCACAUGACGAAGAUUAAUUUUCAUCACGCAAACACUAUCUUCACGAGCUUAGCGCAACGAACCAUGCGCGACAAAAAAUUUUUGCGCAAGGUUUUAAGCGACGAAAUCUUACUUUGCGCAACAAAUCUUAUUUCGUCGCGCAAAGUGUUUUUUGUAGUAGUAUCGUACACUCGAAGUCAUAAGUUCUAUUCCCACUUCCCCCAAUAUUUGCUUGCAUAAAAAACUCUUGUAAAAGUCUAAGGUUCUAGUAAAUAAAUGUGACUACUUAAGUGCAUCAGUUAUAAGGAAAUAGCUAUCGUUAGAAGGUCUAAACAAACUAAAAAGUGUCAUAUUCCAACAACUUGGAUGUCCUUGUAAUUUUUAUUUUCGUUUAAAAGAUAAAUGAAAAAGUUCGACAAUCACCCAAUAACACUGUUACACAUUAGACGAAAGUAAAAUUAAUUUUAAUUUAUUUAAAAAUAAAAAAUAAAAAAUAUUAUGUGAUUCAAAAUAUUCUUCUUAACUUGUAAGUGAAAUAUUUUAGAUUCAAAUCCCUUGUAAAAAUUCAUUACUAGCUAGGGAGCUCUAGAGUAAUGAAUACAAGAUUUCUUGUCAUUUUUUCUAUAAGAUAAGUUUGAACAAAAAUCUCAAUCGUCAACCCACACUCAUCUCAUGCCAUUUGAGAAAGUCUCAUGGGUAACUUAUUUACAACGCACGACAAAACCAAAAAACAAAAACAAAAAUUUAUGGGAAAAUUAGGUUCACAUCCUUUUUUUUGUUACUCCAUUGAUUAAGAUUCUAUUCAUUUUCAAUUUUUGAUCAAAGUCCUUGGGUAUUAAUAACAUCAUUAAUUAUUUGAAUGAUAAAAUAUUUUUUAUUUUUAAAUAUAUUCCUUUAGUGUUAAAAAUGUUAUAAUUAGUAUAUUUAUAUUUAUGGCUAAAUUUUUUAUCAUAUUUUUUUUUUUAGUUUGUACCUAUUUUUAAUUUGCAAAUAUUUUUUAAUUUGUACCAAUUUUCUUUUCAUUUUUAAUUUGUACCCAUAUAUUAGUUUCUUUUUGUGCCCAUAUUUUUUAAAGUUUUAUUUGUGUUUGUACCCAUGUGUAAACCGUCACGUAACAUUGUAUAUUUAAUCAAUGAUAGAAACAUUACAUAUGGUAUAUUUAUGUUUUAUGCCUAAACUUUGUAUCAUAUAUUUAUAUUUUUAGUUUGUACCCACUUUUAAUUUGCAACAUUUUUUUUAAAUUUGUAGUAUUUUCUUUUUAGUUUUAUUUUGUACCCAUGUAUUAAUUUCUUUUAGCGCCUAUAUUUUUUAAAAAUUCAUUUGUACUUAUAAUUUUUAAUCUUUUAUCUGUACCCUAAUUUAUUUAUAAUGUACCCAUUCUUCUUUAUUAAUGUACCACUUUGUUAUAUAUGAAAUGUAAAAUGUACCAAUUUUUUUAACACUAUGGAUACAUUCUUUUGCCAUUUAUUAUUUCUUAUUUUUACAUAGUUUUUAUCCAUUUAUUCAAUCAAAAUGUUUGACUUUUUUUAUUGUAACCGUUUCUAAUAGUAUUAUAAUGAGGGAUUUUAAAUUUAUAAGAUUAUAAAUCUCAAAAAAUAUCAAACAAUUAAUGUCAAAACUAUAAAAAUAUUAAUAUUAAUAGUCAUAUAAUGAGGUGUACAAAGUUAAGGGACCUUGAUCAAACUUUGAAUACUAUUAAGGUUUUAAUCAAAGAAUGUUAAGGAUUAGGGGCCGCAUCCAAAGUAUCCCAAAAUUUAUUCACAACGAGUAAUUGGUUUAUUUUCAAGAAGAUGUAGCACAAGCAAGAGGCUGCGCCACGUUGUUGAUGGUGGGCUUGAUAUGUUUACAUUCAGACGUAAUAGAGCCUUCUUUUCCAGUGUAUGUGAGAUCAAUGUUACUCAAUUCCACAUUCUCACAUGGCAGCCCUCCACUGCAUACAAGCUUAAUACCAACUGGGGUUGAAGAUGAACCCUUUAUGUUCUUGAAGCUGACAUUGCUGAUCUUAACUUUGGAUGGAACCUGCAUACAAUGAUACAAUAAUAGUAUUAUUAUAAAGCACUUUUACUGUUAAAUAUUUUAUAUAAAAUUGUUAUUAUAAAUAUGUCGAAGAAGUUAUUACAAAUUCAGUUUUUUUUUUUUUUUUUUUUUUUUUUGAAAAAUGCUAGAAGUGUGUUUGGUUGAUAGAAAAUUUUUAAAACCCUUUCAGAAACAAUCAAACGGUGCACUCAGGUAUUUAUUCAAAAUAGUUGAGAUUGGGGUCAAGAGAUCAAACGGUCGUCGGUUGUAUUCUAUUAUUCAAGAUUAAGUAUUUGACUAAGUAAUAAAGAAAAUAUGAUGUAACUUUGGUACUGUAAAAUAGUAUACCUGAAGUGUGCACUGAUUAUAUGGGCAAUACUCUUGGUCUAUGAUGACAGGGUUUUUAACAUUAUCCAUGAUAAUAUCCUCAAAGUGAACAUCUGAGACAACGCCAUUUGCAGGGGAAGCAGGCCAUGUUUUGAUCCUCACACCAUUAUCUGUAUUUGUAAUUGUGCAGUUCUUGAUAAAUAUUCCAGACACAGGUUCUUCAUUCUCAUACUUUCCGAGGCUCCCGAUGCUUAUGCCGUGGCCUGGUCCACAAGUAACGUUGGUUACAUGGAGUUGCUUGGUGCCAUCACCAAUAGAGAUGCAAUCAUCCCCAGUUCCAAUGGUCGUAUCUGUGAUGUUGAUCCCAGUUGAACGUCCGAUAUGAAUUCCAUCGGUAUUGAUGCUUUCUUUAGGCGCUGAGACGGUAAAAUGUUGGAAUGCCACAUUGUUGCAACCCAAAAGAUUUACGUGGAAAUUUUUGCUGUCUUUUGUUGUUAUGUCUCGAAUUAUGGAAUUGGUGACAAAAUUGAAUCUCAGAUUCUGCGAAUAGUGUGAAAAAGUUAAAACAUAUACAAACAAGACGAGUAAUAUUUCUUGCCAAAGUUAUGUUGUCAGGAAAAAUUCUUAUAUUAUCAUACUGUGAAUAAAUAUUGCAGAUUACCAACAUGUUCGAUGGCUUAGAUUUGCUCCCUGACAUAUACACCUUUUUCACAUAUAUGGGAUCAGCUAUCAGGCACCAUAUAUUCAUAGAAGAGUAUGAUCAACCGUAUAGUUUCACAAUCUAGCAAUAGAUUUUAAUUAUAAAAGAACAAGAUUUAAAUUAUCUUACGAUAGCAAUAGAUUUGCAAUUUUUGUUUUUGUUGCAGUCAUUUUGCUUCCAAGCAGUUGCUCCUAGGCCAUCGAAAGUUCCACCACCGGAUAAGGUGAGCCCAUCAAUGCGCUCAAAACCUAUCCAAGUAUCUGCUUUUGGGAGUUGGCUGCCAUCUUCUGGAGCCUGCAAUGUGCCCUGAAGCUGAAACUCAAUAGGGGCUUUGCAUGGUCCUUUGAAAGUUGCCCCUACAAACUUGUAUGUCCCACUUGGAACCACAAUUUUACUUGCCGAUGUCGAUGCACAUGCAUCUGUCCAAGCUUUGCUCAAAGCCUAAUUAAAACAUUGAAUAAAAAUUAAAAAUUGAAAUGAUUCUGUUUAAUUACCCAACAAUUCUAGAACGGAAAUGAUUUUCCACUUAUUAAUUUUCCCCAAGCAUAUUUAUUUCCUACUUCUAAAUUAAACAAAUCAAAAGAAAAAUCAAUAAACAAGAACAACAAUGUGCAAAGACCAAAGAGUGUGUACGGAAGUAAUUUCUGUUCUAACUCGAAAUAUUAGUUUAAAAAUUCAAGAAGAAUUACAUGCAUACAUAUAUAAUGCCUACCUGGGUAAUAUCAGAGUUUGCUUUUCCACCAUAAUUUGCACUUGUUACAUCAUAGACACCAGAUUGGGCAUUAGAUGUGGAUACUAACAACAAGGACACAAACAUUGGCAAGAUAUUUUUCAGUUUCAAAUCCAUCUUGAGUUUUCAAUUCGGAAUUAGUUUCUUACGUUUGGAAGUUCGAUGAAAACUUUAUUUUGGUUUCAUCAGAACUUUAUUCUCACAUUGGAAAGCUUAACGCCCUCAAAUUACUCAACCAAUUAUUAGCUAUUUUUAUGGAAGAUGCCUCAACCCCAAAAACCGUGCACGAAAAAAACUAGCCGCCGUUGAUUUAUUCAAAAGAAAAGCUUAAUUAAGAGCUUGAAAUUCCUCACAAAAUUUCUUCCAAGACAGGGAAAUAACCCCGAAUUAAGAUGCCUUAAUUAAGAUGUUUAAUUGCAAUGUAGUUCAAGAAUUGUAUCCUAUAAUUAGUAAUUAAUUAAGCUGCUUAUAGUUUUAGAACAUCAAUUACCACCACUACGUAUGGCCCUCGGCUAGUUCAGUGUUCAUUACCACUUCUUUAACAUAUUGUUCUCCAUGCUGCCCCUCCAAGUCAGUACUCAAAUUGUUUCUUCCAAGCAAACCCUAGUUGCUGCAGCCACCAGCACCCCGAUCAACGCCAACUCCACCACCGCGACACAACUACAACUUGUUUAAACUUGACGGCAUUACUUGUGGGAAUCUUCAACAAUUCUUCACAUCAUAGCAUAAUAUUCCAGCUCAACUCCAUCUCGGUCUCUCCCGUUAUAGUCUACUCCUCUUCACUGACCGCAAAUUGGUACAUCACUUUACUCAAUUACAAAGACAUGAGCAUCUACUAUGACUUACUCAUGCAAGUCUCGGUUUUCUAUCACAAGGAGUUUCUCUCCAUGACUAAUGUCGUCGCUAACGGUUGUACCAAGAUCCAAUUCGUCUGAAGAAUGAGACGCAAGUGCAUGCCAGUGCUUUUGCCUCGUCGGUGUUUGUCAAGGAUCUAGUUGUGGCUGCUAUGUUUGAGGAUUUCAGGGAUGGAAACGUGGGGUUCGACGUGGCAGUGUAGGGUGCUUAUAGGGUGUGGAAAGAGGAUCGCAUUCCGCAAGUAGGCUGUUGAGUAGGGGUGGGUUUAAAAAACCAAAAACUAAAAAAAAAUCGAACUGAACACCGAACCAAAGCCGGAAAAAAAAAAAUCAAACCAAGUGAACCGAAUCGAAAUAGGUUGGUUUGGUUUCGGUUUUGAUGGUCCAGAAACCGAACAGGAUCGAACCGAACCGAUUUAUAUUUAAUUAUUUAAUUGGGUUAAUCUCAGUUUACUAUCAUGAAGCUUCUUGGUUUUCAACAUUUAAUACAUGAAGUUUUUUUCAUCCUAGAGUGGUAUAUAAAGCCAUAAUUUUGGGACACUUUCAUAUAUCCGUUAAGUUUUCUGUUAAAUCAGUGGUUAACUGGUGACAUGGCACUCAUAUGGACAGUGACUAGGCACCACGUGUCAUCGGGGCCCACAUAAAUAUUAAAAAAAUUAAAAAAAUUAAAAAAAAAUGUUUUUGGGCCUUCCAACUUAACCCUCGACCCCCUCCCUCCCUUCUCUCCACUAAGCCUUCCAGCUCCCACCUCCUCCUAACCGCUGGCGAUCGCCAAGGCUGCAUCAUCCUCCUCGACCUCCACCUGUCUCCCAUCCUCUGGUUCGAUACCGACUCCUCCCCCUCCAAACUCGCCAUACAGGACCUCGCAUGGGUCCAGGCCCGACCUGACUCCUUCUACAUCUCCUCCAUCUUCGUCUACAACAACUCCACUAGCAAGGAGCUUGCUUUUCCCCUCCACGGUUCGUAUUGCAACUCUCAUUCAUCUUCUCACUAUAGUUUUUCCCCUCCAUGGUGAUUCACUGAAACGAAUCCAAACAACUCACUCACACUCAGUCACUCAUCUCUUUCCCCCUAUCUCUCCAUUUCUCUCUUUAAGGUUUUAGUUUGGGUUCAAUUGGAGUGGUCCGAAGAUCAAAAAAGGCGGCAGUGGCGGUGGGGAAGCAGAGGCAUCGGAGGAGGUGAUGGUGACCGAUUAGCUAAUGGUAUACAGAGGGGCGAAGAAAGAGAGAAGGUGUACGGCAAAAGAGCACAUCAGCAAAAUGCCUUUGUGCGCUGCUGGAAAAUGUAGCUCCAUUUACCGUGGAGACACUCGGUAAUUAAGCUCCUCUUUCUCUUUCUGUUUGGUUGCUGAGAAAAAAAAAAGAAAGGAAUUUUGAUUAGAUUUUGUUGAUGCACAAAAUCAGUGGGAACUUUGAUACAACAAAAAAUGUUAAGUUUGUGACCUUUGCUAAACUACUCUGGUCACUAGUGUGGAUAAGUAUGUAAAUGGAUAAAGACAGGGAAGCAAACACAAGAUGUACGUGGUUCACCCAGAUUGGUUACGUCCACAGAGUAGAGGAGUUCUCAUUAAUUGUGAAGGGUUUACACAAGUACAUAGGUUCAAGCUCUCCUUUAGUGAGUACUAGUGAAUGAUUUAGUACAAAUGACAUAAGGAAAUAUUGUGACAGAAUGAUCUCUAUUUAUAGAAGAGAGUUUCUAGUUUCAUUCUGACAUUGACACGUGUCGUGUUGUGAUUGGCCUCUGAUGUCGACACGUGUCACGUUAUGAUUGGCCUCUGAUGUUGACAUGCGUCGCGUUGUGAUUGGCCUCCUGAUUGGAGGGAGACUCUUGUGGGUCCUUGGCGGUAUAAUGUUGACCGGUGCUUAGUAGUUUCGAGGUUGGUCAAGUAUGGUACAAACAAAUUUGAUUAGGAAUUUGGGUAUGGAAAUGUAGGCAUAGGUGGACAAGUCAUUAUGAGGCUCAUCUCUAGGAUAAAAGUACUUGGAUUCAAAACCAGAAUAAGAAAGGAAUCCGAUGUCGUCAUCAAGAAGCUUCAGAUUCAAGCCAAAUCUGAUGUCGGCUGGUGAAGCUGUUGUAGAGAGAGAGGGAAGAGAAUCCGGAGAUGAAGGCAAAGAGGUAGAAGUCGGGUCGGGCCUGGACCCAUGCGAGGUCCUGGAUGGCGAGUUUGAAAGAGGAUGAGUCAAUAUCGAACCAGAGGAUGGGAGACUUGAGGCGGAGGUCGAGGAGGGUGAUGCAGCCCUGGUGAUCGCCAGCGGCGUGGAGGAAGUGGGAGCUGGAAGGCUCAGUGGAGAGAAAUGAAGAAGGGAGUCGGGGUUGAGCUGGAAGGCCCAAAAACAUUUUUAAUUUUUAAUUUUUUAAUAUUUAUAUGGGCCCUGAUGACACGUGGCACCUAGUCACUGUCCACGUGAGUGCCAUGUCACUAGUUAAUGGCUGAUUUAACAGCAAACUUAAUGGAUAUAUGAAAGUGUCCCAAAAUUGUGACUUUACGUACCACUCUAGGAUGAAAAAAAAUUCAUGUAUUAAAUGUUGAAAACCAAGAAUUUCAAGGUAGUAAACUGAGAUUAACCCUAUUUAAUAUAUAUUAAUUAUAUAAAUUAUAUACAAAUACUCAAAAUCUAGAGGCAAAAGUUUUUGAACCCCUUAUACCUCCUGGUUGAGAGUUUUUUGCUUCAGCCAACUUGAUAACAAGCUUUGUGUAGUUAUAAUCAUAUUAGUAAAAUAUUUAUACUGAUUCUAGAGCUUUAAUUCUUUAUAAGAUUUCUAAACACAAAACCCUAGCCGUCCCAUUUACUCCCAUUUCAUCUCCUUGUUCUGACUUAUCAGCCUCUCUCUUCGACCUUUGAAUUCUUGCAUCUCCAUAAUUUCUUUGUUGAACGCUCGAAUGUUUGCAACUACAAGCGAUUUAUACAAGGAUUUGCAGCAAUCCAUUCAUCAUUUUCAGGUGGGUCACCGCCGCGAUGCCAAAUUCAAGAAGUUCAAGUUUGAAAACGGUGCUCUCGCUGUAUCAAUUUCAUCUAUUUUGUUUCGAAAACGGUGCUCUCGUUGUAUCAAUUUCAUCUAUUUUGUUCCCAAUCUUGUAAAUUUGUUUAAUUUGUGAUUGAAUGAUUGGGUUCAUAAUCAUUACCCCUGCAAUGCUGAUAAGCAAUGCACAAACGUGGAGUUUUCUUAUAUGUAACCUGACCAGAACUCAUAACCCUUUUGAUGCAAAUUUUGAAAUGUGCAUUUUUUGUGCAAAUUGGUUCUGAUUGGGUUAUGAUGCAUCUGUGCAAUGUGCAUUUUUGUGCAAAUUGGUUCUGAUUAGGUUAUGCUGCACCUGUUUUGCUUUUCUUGAUUGUGCAUGCCUCCCUUUCUGAAUGGUUCUUGUUCCUCCACUCUCCAUCAUAAUUAAAAGAAAUUGUUGCAGAAAAGAGGAAGAAAACAAAUGGCAGAUCUUGAAGAUGCAGGGUCCAUUAAAAUCUAAAAUUUUAUGUACCCAAAAUUGCAAUGAUGAAGAUUAGAGCAAUGCAAGAGUGUUCAGAGCAAAGAAGAAUCUAAAAAACCCGAACCGAUUGGAAUGUGAUUGUUCUACACUAAUUGGAAAUUUUUAGGAAUUUUUUUCACCAUUGAAGAAAAAAAAAAAUCGAACCGAACUGAAAUCGAAUCGAAAAAAAAAAGAACUGAAAUUUCAAUUCGAUUUCAGUUUUAGCAAAAAAACAGAACCCAACCCUACUGUUGAGGGUUGAUUGUGAUUGUCAGGGUUGAGAUGUCAAACAAUGGAACUGAUGAAGCCUUGUCUGGUGGAUCAAGUAAAUUUGAUGUUGAGAUCAUUUUUAUGUACUGCUUCAAACUAUGCCCGUGCUACCUUUAUAUAUGUAUUAUUCUUUUGACUUCCAUUUAACUCAAUUGACUAAAAGCAACUACCCUAUAUACUCAAGAUCUCAAGUUCUAUUCCCACUUCUCCCAAUAUUUGCUUGCAUAAAAAACUUUUGUAAAAGUUUAGGGUUCUAGUAAAUAAAAUUUGACUAGCUACUUCAGUGCAUCAGUUUGUUUGGACCCAAAUUUACACCAUCGGCCCGUGUAAUCAAGGUCAUUGAGUAAGCAUAGUUCUCAACCGUCAGAUGAAAAAGUGAAGAUAUUUUUAUUAAAGGAUAAUAUUAUGGUUUUUGUCAUAGUAAUUAUUUUUUAUUUUGGAUUAUCUUAGCAUUAUAUCUUCGAACAAGUACAGUUCGAGUGAACUUGGGAUUACUGCUAUCAGACUGGAGAAACUUGGUAGAUGAGGUUUGAAAAGUCAUGGUGCAUGCACAGAUGGAUUAUGAAGAAGUCUAGAUAGGCUUGGCUUUAGUGGUGAUGUGAUAAGUCUAAGAUUUAAUAGUCUUAGAUAAUGAUGACAAGCCUAGGUAGGCUAGGCUAUGAUGAUAAGACUUUUAUUUGAAUAGGCUUUUGUGAGGUUUGGAAAAUCGUGAACAUCUAUCUGAAGGAUAUGGUAGUUCUCUGAUGCGGAUUAAUUUCAGUUCCGUGGAAAAGAAUUGCAGUUGGACUCUACAAGCAUCAUCAGGCUGUGCCAGGUAGAUAUCAAACGCUAUAAAUACAUGAAGGUUGUGCAGCAUUGAGGACAACUCCAACUCAACACACAAACUGCCAUGCGCAAACCCUCGCUCUACGCGAAACCUCUCAACAACCUUGAGAUUUUUAUUUUCCUUUUUCACCAACACAUCUUCAGUUUGGAUAAACAGCACUGUGAAGGCAACUGGCGAACAUCUUCAGUUUAAAUAAACAGCACUGUUGCCGUAGAAUCAGCUGACCGUAAAGCACCUUUAGUUUGGAUAACCAGCAUUGCGACAGGGUCGACUGGUUAUCUAUCCAAGUCUCGAUCGAGAAGGAUUUUCGAAUCCUUAUUGGCAGAGGUCAUCUCAUUAGCCUUUUCGACGAAGUGACGUGUUACAAGUUAUUACAUUCGGCACAUUGGAAGCUGAAUUUGAUAUUGAACUUCGCAGAACUAGCAGCCUUAUCUUCAGGCUCUAGAAUCCGAAGGCCGAGAGUGUUCCUUCCUCGGCCGCAGUCGCGAGAUUCAUAAGUCAGCAGCGUACCCAACGCAACAUCAACAAAUUUUACUCCUCGGCCGACGAGUUGGCACGCCCGCACAUAACCGAAUGACGUAGUUAGCUUAUUAAUUACUCGGCAUGCGCGCCACGUAGGCUUGGUAGUUUUUAGGGUCAACACAGUUAUAAGGAAAUAACUGUCGUUAGAAGGUCUAAACAGACUAAACAGAGAAUGUCAUAUUCCAAAAACUUGGAUGUCCUUGUAAUUUUUGUUUUCGUUAAAAAAAUGAAAAAAGUUCGAUAAUUACCCAAUAACCCUGUCACAAAUUACACGAAAGUAAAAUUCAUUUUUAUUUAUUUAAAAAUAAAUAAAAAUUAACACAUAAUACUAUGUAUUCUUCUUUUAGCUUGUAAAUGAAAUAUUUUAGACUAUUCACUACAAGUUAGAGAACAAUGGAGUAAUGAACACAAUUCUUGUCAUUUUUUUAUAAAGUGAGAUUUGAACAAAAAUCUCAACCGUCAACCCACAGUCAUCUCAUGCCAUUUGAGAAAAGUCUCAUGGGUAGCUUAUUUACGACGUACAACAAAAAUUAAAAUAAAUAAAUAAACACUUGUUUAUAAGGAAUAAUUGGUUUCUUUUCAAGAAGAGGUCGCGCAAGCAAGAGCCCGUGCCACGUUGUUAAUGGUGGGCUUGACAUGCUUACAUUGAGAGGUAAUAGGGCCUUUGUUUCCACUGUAUGUGAGAUCAAUGUCACUUAGUUGCACAUUCUCACAUGGCAGCCCUCCACUGCAUACAAUCUUAAUACCGACUGGGGUUGAAGAUGAGCCCUUUAUGUUUUUGAAGCUGACAUUGCUGAUCUUAACUUUGGAUGGAACCUGCAUGCAAUAAUAGUAUUAUUAGAAAACACUUUUUCUCAUAAAUAUAUUUAAUAAAUAGAUCAAAAAAUUCAAGUGGAUUUUCGAAAAACCGGAGUGCUUCCUGAAGACAUGUACUAUUCCAGAAUGAACUCAGGUAGGUAGUCAUUCAAAGUAGUGGAGGUUGGUGUCAAUAGAUCAGAUGGCCAUCGGUUGUAUUCUAUUAUUCAAGAUUAAGUAUUUGACUAAAUGAUAAAGAAAUUAUGAUGUUAAUUUUUGUGCAAAAUAGUAUACCUUAAGUGUGCACUGAUUCCAUGGACAAUACUCUUGGUCUAUGAUGACAGGGUUUCCAACAUUGUCCAUAAUAAUAUCCUCAAAGUGAACAUCUGAGACUACACCAUUUGAUGGAGAAGCAGGCCAUGUUUUGAUUCUCACACCAUUAUCUGUAUUUUUAAUUGUGCAGUUCUUGAUAAAGAUUCCGGACACAGGUUCUUCAUUCUGAUAUCUUCCGAGACUCCCGAUGCUUAUGCCAUGGCCGGGUCCGCAAGUAACUUUGGUUACAUGGAGUUGCUUGGUGCCAUCACCUAUAGAGAUGCAAUCAUCCCCUGUUCCAAUGGUUGAAUCUGUGAUGUUGAUCCCAGUUGAACGUCCGAUAUGAAUUCCAUCUGUGUUCAUGCUCUCUUUAG